UGGAAGAUUGCUGGGAUCUGGUUAAGAAAUGCACAAAGUCAAAGAGAGAAGAGACACCAUACAUGAUCGAAGUUGCAAAGGAAUUACGCCGAAUUUACAACUGCUUCCGUGCCGUCAAUCUUGACAAGAAUUAGCUACACAAGAUGGGAAAAAGAAGAAUCAAGCGCAUUUUGUUCACCUAAAGUUAAUUUUGAUACUCCCUGUAUAAUAAAAAUAUCAUAACCCCUUUUCAUUUUUGAUAAUAUUUUAAUUUCAACUUUACACAUGAUAUAUUUAUGAUCAUAAGAUUAAAAGAUAUUUUGGUACAUUUGACACAACUUUAAUUUAAGGCCACAAGAUUUAAAAAUUUCUUUACGAGAAAAGACAUCUUUUCCCCCUGAACUUAUCCUCCAAACUUACUUUAGCAAUUAAACUUAACUUUCGUUUAUUUACCCCUUAAUAUCUUUAAAGUGAAUUAUUUUCACCCCUCAAGACCGAAUACCACUCUCACAACGGAGAGUGUGUUACAUUCGCCUACACAUCAACGCCACGUCGGAGCCACGCCAUUGCCACGUAAGAAGUUCAAUUUUUCUAAAAAAAAUAUUAAUCCUCCACACUUUAUUUUAAUAUUUCUUUUAAAUAAAAAAUAUAUAUUUACUAUAUAUAUAUAUAUAUAUAUUAAAUAAAAAAGAUGCUCCCACCCCCAUUUUCUUUCUUCUUUACUCCCCCACCUACCCCGUCCACCCCGUCCCUACCCUACAACACAACCCCCUUCUCUUUUCUAUCUUCUUUAAACCACCCCACCUCUCUCCUCACCUCCAUUUUCUAUCUUCUUCAAACUUAAAGCAUAUUAGCAAUUCAAGAAACAAUCAAUUCAAGAAACAACAAUUAUUCCUUCAUCAAACCACCAAUUCAAGAAACUCAAAUUUCAGGCACAACUUUACAACAUCAUAAAAAAACUCCAAUAAUCAAUUUAGACAUCAAUUAUGAAUUCAACGAAAUCAUUUUUUCUUUAUUUUCAAGCUUUUUUCAAGCUUCAACAAUGACAGAUACAAAAUUAAACUAGCAAAAUUCAUACCAAUCAAACUCAAAAUUCAAGUACAACUUCACAUCAUCAUCAGAAAACCCUAAUAAUCAAUCUGAACAUCAACUACAAAUUCGACAAACUUAUUUAGAAAUAAUCGAUCUCUGCACAAAUCCCAAGAAAACCUUUUUUUUUUUUUGGAAAUAAUCAAUCAGCUAUGACUCUUGGUUCAGGAGGAGGAUCCAAUUUUGUGGUCCCUCAGAAUUUCAGAUUACUUAAGGAACUCGAACGUGGUGAAAAGGGUAUUGGAGAUAGUACGGUGAGCUAUGGGAUGGAUGGUGAAGAUGAUAUCUACAUGCGUUCCUGGACUGACACCAUUAUUGGUCCACACAAUUAUGUUCAUGAAGGGCGUAUUUAUCAGUUGAAGCUAUUCUGCGACAAAGAUUAGCCAGAGAAGCCACCAAGUGUUCGAUUCCAUUCUCGAAUUAACAUGACAUGUGUCAACCAUGAGACUGGAGUGGUGGAACCAAAAAAGUUUAUUGUACUUGCAAAUUGGCAGAGAGAGUACACCAUGGAAGAAAAUGGGGAUCGGAAAUUAAUGGUUGAAGAAAAUGGGUGAGGUUAUUAAUGGAUGAAUUGAUGGUUGAAGAAAAUGGGUAAGGUUGUUAAUGGAGAAAUUAAUGGUUGAAGAACAUGGAUGAGGUUAUUGAUGGAGGAAUUGAUAGUUUAAAGAAAAUUGGUAUUGUUGUUCUUGAUUAAUUGAAGAAAAAAAGAGUGUGGGGGUGUGGGUUGGCGUGGGGGGAGGGGCAUUGAAGAAGAAGGUUGUCUUUUUUUUUUUAUUUAAUAUAUAUUAAAAUAAAAAGUAGGACCAUAUCAAUUUUUAAAUAAAAGCGCGCCUUUUUUUUUUUUUUAAUUUCAUGUCAGAAUUAAGGGUGUAUAUAAUCACUUUAAAGAUGUUAAGGGGGUAAAUAAACGAAAGUUUAGUUUAAGUGCUAAAGUGAGUUGAGCGGACAAUUUCGGAGGAAAAAGAUGUCUUUUCUUUUCUUAAACUUUGUGCCAAGUCAAAGUAGGUCAUUCUUUUUGAAACAGAGGGAGUAAUAAGUUUGACUUUAUUUGAAGUAGUUUCAGUUAGUUUGAAUGGACACAUUAUGUUGGAUAAUAAAAGAGUUCCAUAAUGAAAUUGCAGAUAAUAAGAGGGCUUAUAACUAAGGACAUACAAACACCUCAUAAGUCAUAAGUUGGAAAAUUCUUAAUUUAUGUCUUUUCUAACUCAAAGACUUAUUUUCUUAUUUUGACUUAAAAAUAAAUUCUUAAAAACACUUCCUUUUAAAUCUUAUUCAAAUACUAUAAAAAUAUUUAAAAGCUAUUUUGACAUAAAAGUAUUUGAAACAAGUCAAUCCAAACAGACAAAGGGCAGCCCAAUCUACUAAAGCUCUCGCGAUGCGCAGUUUUACGAAAAUACCUGAUCAUAAUAAUCUAUUAUAUGAAACCUUACCUUUUAUUUUCGGAAGAGGCUAUUUCCAUGGCUAAUCCAAACUUGAGGAAAAGAAAAACUAUAAGGGAUCUUUUGAUAGCGUGUAUAAGAAUAAUGCAAAAUAUGGUGUAUUAGUAAUGCUUGUAUUAACAAUGCUUGUGUUAGCUACGCUUGCAUUUGUUAUACUUGUAUUUUUCUUGUGCAGUGUUUGGUUCGAUGUAUUGAAAAUAACAUGAAUAACAUAAUUUCUAGUUUUUUUUACAUAAUACCCUCAAUAUAUAAAUUAGAGAGGACGGGAAAUUUUUUUUGAGGGAUAAUAGUGUCUUUAAGCACGUUAAUUAGAUCCAUUGCAUUACUAAUGGCAUGGAUUUUGAGUUAUUAGUAAUACACACCUCAGUACACAAUAGAGUGUAUAACUGAUGCAAACAUUAAUUAUACAUAGGAUUAAAAGAUACAACAAACAAAAUACUACUAAUACACAUUAAAUUAAUGUUUUCAUUAACUUUCCAAUACACUCUACCAAACGACCCGUAAAAGAGGAAGAGCAUGACACACACACAAGAGAGAAUGACGGGUCUUUAAUUACUUGGAUAAUGGGCCUACAUUAGGCGAUUUGUCAAUCACAAAAAUGUUUCACACCAUACAAUUAGAGUAAAGUUUUUCAAUCAAACACCAUUUGCUGUCACUUUAUGUGGAAUUCAAUGUACGGGACAAAGUACAAAGACCAACAUGAACUAGGAAGCUCACAACUUUCUUUUUUUGGUAAAAUAGAAAUGCAUUAAAUAAAAGGAGGUAGUUUUUUAUAUAGAAAGGUCUAAUCAGGCACAAAAACAUAACAGUUGGGAUAAGCAUUUCCAUUAUUGUAUACAGAGCGGGAGAAUGAUUUUCCCUUAAAGUUUUCCCAAAAAGACUACUCCUACACUAACAGGUGGAGUUAUGAAAAUAUGUAAACUGUCAAAAAAUUUCUGCUCAGAGCCUUGCUUUGCCAUUAAGUUCGCUACCCUAUUCUAUUCCCUGUAGCUNNNNNNNNNNNAUCGGAAGAUUUCCCAAGCUCCUUAGUAGAGACCUGCAUUCAUAGACAACUGAAUCAUAAAGUAAGUUGCCAUAGUGUAGCAUAUUUAUAAUUUCCUGUGAAUCAGUGCAAACUUCUAAAGGUUUGAGAAUUUGUUUAAAGCCAAGUUUGAGGCCCUUCUUCAAGGCCAAGAGCUCCGUAAGAUUAUUAGUGAAAUGGGUAAAGCUUUUGCUAAAAUAUAAAACCCAAGCUCCUCUAUAGUCCCUAAUGACCCCCCUCCUAAUCCCACUCUUUCCUGGUUGCCAAGGAAAGACCUAUCAGUAUUUAGCUUAAAAGGUUGAAGGUGGGGGCGGGUAACCAUUUGAUGGUGAUAUUGGUUUAGGGAGGAUCCUCAUUGGUAUUGCCUAAGUGAUGGUAUUCCACAGCUUCAGCCUGAGGAUAUUGAAGCAAGAAUGAGAGUUAGCAUUUUGGAAGUUGUGGAAUUUUUUAUUUUUCAAAGGUGCCAUAAGCAGAAGGGUAGGAGGGUACUCCAAGGAGUGUUGUUGUCAAAGUAAUCUCUGCUCAUGAUUUUCCAUGUUUUGGACCAAUUGUUGGUGUCAAACAUGGAAAGAUGGAGAUGAAUACUCCCUUUGUAUUUUUGAAUUAGUUUUUGCCAAAAGGUCUUGGCUAAGUUGCAUUCAAAAAAGAUGUGAUGCUGGUCUUCUUGGGCAUAAUUGCAGUAGUGAAAAAGAGGUAAUAUUCAAGCCCCCUUUUGAGGAGGGUGGAUCUAGUGGAAAGGUUGUUGUGGUGCAUGAGCCACACAAAGGUCUUGAUCUUAUUGGGGACUCUAAGAUGCCAAAUCCAGCUGGAAGAGAUGUGGGCUCUCUGGGGAUCCCCCUUUAGGCUGGUAAUAUAUUGGUAGGAACUUUUGUAGAAAAAGGUGCUAUCACCUCUAAGUCUCCAAAGAGGAGUAUCCUGACUGAGGUGGGUGCUCUAAGAAAAGUAUUCUAGAUAUUGAAGAUAAUAUUGGUGGGGNNNNNNNNNNNNNNNNNNNNNNNNNNNNNNNNNNNNNNNNNNNNNNNNNNNNNNNNNNNNNNNNNNNNNNNNNNNNNNNNNNNNNNNNNNNNNNNNNNNNNNNNNNNNNNNNNNNNNNNGGGAAUGGGAGCAUUCCAGGGAUCCAUCUAUCUUCCCAAGCUUUAACUUUUGUUCCAUCCUUAAUGGCCCAAAAUAAAGAAUCUUUACAGAGGUUCCAACAAUUGUUGAUGUUAUUCCAGGUCCUAGAGCCUUUGUUGAUACCCUUUCUUCCUAACCCAUAUUUGGAAAUAAGAGUGUUGACCUACAGGGAUGUAGGGGUUGGAGUAUAUUCUCCAACCCAGGCUGUAAAUGAGGGCUUCAUUCUUGAUGACAACCAUUUGCAUGCCAAGCCCACCAUCCCUUUUAGGAAGAGUGAUGGUGUCCCACCUAAGAAGGUGUAUUUUCUUUUUUGCAUUAGCGGUAUCGCAGUUGAAAUUCCUUUGGGUUCUGUCAAUCAGCUUAUGUAGGUUGCUAGGAAGGUGGAUAUAUUGCAUAACAUGGUUGGAAAUACUAGGUAAGGAAGACUUAGCUAAAGUUCCCCUACCAGCCAUAUUAAGGAAUUAGUUUUCCACCCAGCUAAUUUAUUUUUCAAAUUAUCAAUAAUGAAUUAGAAGUCCCCCCUCUCAGGUUUUUUGUGGAAGAUGGGGAAUCCCAGGUAUUUGCCAAAGUGGUUAGAAUAAUGGAUGCCUAGGAGAGAAGAGAUAUUUCCUGGUCUUCCAGCUUAUAAUUUUUGGAGAAGAUAACUUUGGAUUUAUCAAAGUUGAUUCUUUGCCCAGAGUGGGAACUAAAACUAUGGAGGAUCCUAUUAAUGGUAUGGCAAUUUUUAGGAUCAACUUUUGCAAAAAGGGUGAGGUCAUCUGCAAAGAAGAGGUGGAAGAUAAGAGGACCUUUCCUAGAAAUGGUUAUGGGUGUCCAAUGGAGGGUAUUAAUCUCAGAGUUGAUCCUCCUGGAUAAAAGUUUCAUGCAAAGGAUAAAGAGAUAGGGUGACAAAGAAUCUCCUUGCCUAAUGCCACUAGAGGGUUUAAAGGGGAUGGUAUUCCCUCCAUUAACAAGGAUAGAUAUGGAAGAAGUAAAGAUACAAGAUAGGAUGAGAUUUAUGAGAUUUUGGGGAAAGUUGAAGAAGGAAAGAGCCUGUCUAAUAAAGGACAAUUCAAGCCUAUCAAAAGCUUUCUCAAGAUCAAUUUUGAGAAGCAUGUCGGAUUUUUUACCCUUAAUUUUGGAGAAGUGGCUAACAUAUUCCCGAACAAUGAUGGCAUUAUUAGAGGCCCUUAUUUUAGCCAUAAAGCUAGCUUAGUUUGGGCCAACGAUGUUUGCAAGUAAUGGUUUCAUCCUAGUGGCUAUGAUCUUGGUGAUGAUUUUAUACUGGGUACAAAGGCCUAUGGGUCUAAAGCUCUUAAGAAAAGUAGAAUUCCUACACUUGGAAAUAAAACAGAGGUAGGUGGAGUUGACUCUGGGGUCCAUAGAGUAAGAAGUGAAGGUCUCCUAACAGAACUUAACUAUGGGGGUCCUAUAAUGUCCCAAAAUUUCUGGUACAUGAAGGGAUGCAUGCCAUCAGGUCCAGGAGUUUUGUUAGGCUUGAAAGAGAAAACAACCCUUUUGACCUCUUCAAAGAAAGUGAUGGCUUUUUAAAGGUCAUGAUUGAGGGAGCUGAUGGAUCCCAAGGUGGAGGGGUUGGAUUAGGUAGUGAGAUACCCUAAUAUGUAUUCAGAGGUAUAGAGGUUAGCAUAGUAGUUAAAGACAGCAAUGGCAAUAUCUUUUUGCUGGUAGUGCCAUAUACCAUUUCAUGUAUGAAGGAGUUGAUCCUAUUCUUUCUCCUCUUAUUGAGGGUGGAGGUAUGAAAGAACUUGGUAUUUGAAUCCUCUUCCAGCAGCCAUGAGAUUAUGGAUUUUAGCUUUUAGAACUCAUUCUCUAAGUUAGAGAUAUGAUUGAAUUCUUUCAACAGAGUGUGUUCAAGCCCAUGGAGGAAGGGGCUUGUGGGGUAGUAUGGUGAUUUUUGGAUGCCAUGCAACCUUGUAAGCAAGUGUUUUUUCUUAUUAAAAAUAUUCCCAAAAAUGAUCCUGUUCCAAUCCUGAUAUUUUUCUUAAAAUUUAAGGUGGCUAUAGUGAUACAGGGACAGUUUAAGAAGGAAUCUUUGAUCAAAUUGAGGAAUUCAUGAUGGAUAAGCCACAUAGAUUCAACCCUAAAGGGUUUAAUCUGGUUGGUAAGAGUGGAUCCUAAGUUAAGAAGGAACGGGUAAUGGUCAGAGCAAGUUCUAGGAAGGUGGGUGAUUGAGGCCUCAGGAUAUAAGUGAAUCCAAAGAUCAUUAGCUAGGCAUCUAUCAAGUCUUUCUAGAAUUAGACCCUGUCUAUUCCUAUACCUCAUGUUUGACCAGGUGUAUUUACUACCUCUAAAGCCUAAGUCAAUAAGCUUGCAAUGAUUUAUAAAAUUCAUAAAAAGGUUAGAGCUAUUUAGGUUAAUCCUGGAACCUCCAAACUUUUCAAAGGCUCUAAGGACUUCAUUGAAGUCCACUUCAACUAACCAGUUCUUACCCUCAAUGAAAAUGUAGUUAUCAGAGAGAGAGGAGAAUUGUUCCCAAUGAUCAAUCCUAGAAUGAAAAUUAGUACUAGCAUAAAUAAUACUAAAAAACCAAGAAGAAGGAGACACUGACCUUGUCUUUGGCAUGAAUAGCUUGGGAGGAAAUAGAGAUAGAGGUGAUGGAUUUGGAGUCAUCCCUCCACAUAAUGAUAAGGCCCCCUGUGUUACCAUUAGCCUCAGACUGGAUGUGGUUUUGAAAGCCUAGCUUCUCACAAAGAUCUUGGUGGUCAGUCAUCUUGGUUUCCAGCAGAGCAAGAAUACACGGUUGGUGGAUACUAACCAUAGCUUUAUAAUGAUUUCUAAAUUCAACAUUCUAAGCCCCCUAUCAUUCCACAUAAUGCAGUUUUUCAUCUUCAAUUGAAGAGGAUGGGGUGGUUCUGUUGAAGUCACCUUGCCCUUCCCCUUGGGGUUGGGGUUGGUGUGAAGGAGGAGGCUUUUUUUUUCUUGCUGAGGGGGCGCUAGCAUGACCUUGACAAUCUUUUCUUUCGUAGGCUUUAUUGUAUUUGCUCUUAGACCUAGACCUGCUAACCCUAAGGAAAUCGGGAUGAUCACAAUCUCCUGAACUGGCUCUGUGAAUUCUAGAUUUAGAGGCUCUUCUAAGUUGAUAAUUUCUGAUCUUAGGACUUUGAGUUGGGAUAGGAACUCCUCCAUAUCCCUGUUGCUUGCUUUCAGGGUUUUUAGAGCAUUCAACCUUUCCAUCUUCUCUAAAGUAAGGUGGGGUGAGGUUGUGAUCAAGAAUAAAGAUUUUGUCUGACUGGGAGAGGCUUGGUGUUCCCUUGUGAGAGGCACAAAAGCUGGUCCCAGAAGAAUCAGGAGUGGGUUGUGUGGUGGAAAGAAAGAAAGGCUAAGGCUGAGAUGGUUCAUGAUGCUGGCUAGUGAUUCUGUCGUCAACUCCUCCUGGUAGGGUGAGUUGAUCACCUGAAAUAGGGUGGCCAUCCAGACAUUGGACCCAAACAUCUGUAGUCCAUGGUUUAGGCUCACCAUGGCCAGCUGAGCAAGGUAUUGAGGAUCCUGAAUGAGAAUGGUGACUUGUCUCCCUUUUCAUUCCAGGUGUAGGGGUACCGUUUGGUUUGAUAGGCAUAUUUUCAACCAAGAAGUUGGUUGGUGGUUUAGGGAUAGGGGAGUUGUUAUGAUGGUAGUUCGGUUAGAGCUUGGGGAGUUCAUAAUUGCUUUUUUGAGAAAGAUCAGUCAUGUUCUCCUUAGGGUAUAUAGAGUGAAGAGAGUUAAGAGAGAGGAGCUGAGAGGUUUUCCCAUGGGAAACACCACCAACAUUUAAUGCUUUGUCUACGCCUUGGAUAUUCACAUCACAUAACUGCGGAAAGUGGAACAUUUUCCCGCUGUUGGGACUUUAGGCUCAUCAUUGCCUAAGUCUAGGAGUCUUAGGGGGGCCCCACAUUGGGAGUUCUCUUUCAUUAUAAUUUCCAUUGGUGUGGAAGAUGAAUUAUUUUUAGGAGGUGGAUUUCGAAAAAGGGGGUCAGGUCUCUUAGGACCUAUCUGGGACUUUGUUAUAGGCCCAUAAGUAAUAUGGGAAUUGGGUCUCUAAGCUGUUGAAUUUUUGGAUUGGCCUCCCUACAAUAGAAGGUAUAUGACCUUGAUUUUUUUUGGGCCCAAUUCUUGCUCUGUUAGGGGUUUUAGCAUAAUAAAGUUUUGAGGAUUCCCCUUGGGCCGGCCCAUUGGGUGAAGGCCCAGAUGUAGAGGGCAUGGUGGGCUUUCCUGGCGCUGCCUUCGGUAAGGUAGGGUUUAGGAACUUACCUAUCACCGCAUCAAAGGUUUUGAGCUUGACGAUGAGUGAUCCCUUAGUGUUUAUUUGAUGAUUUUUUGGUACCAUCUUCUUCCUUUUGGAAAACGAUACUGUUUGCCAGUCAGGUUAGUGGUCUCCCAGCGAUGUUUUAUCCUCUGCUAUGGGGUGGGUGGCCUUCAUUAUUGUUGCAUCACCACCAUUUUUAAAUUGCUUUGGCCUGAGCGGGUAUGAGCAGAUGGCCGUUGUGUGACCUAGGCAUCUGCAGUUCUUACAUAGGAAGCCCUCUCCCUCAUAGAGGAGAGAAUGAGUAUGCUGGUUGAUGGAGAUUGAGGAUGUUACCAUGGUGUCCAGAGGAAUUUGGACAUAGAUUCUGGUGUAUCUGCCUCGCAGUGCCGUCGAUGUGCAUGCGUUAACCUUCAUCAAUAUCCCAAUUUUCUUGCCGAUCCGUUGAAGGAUAGAGGCAUCAUAUAGCUUUGUAGGCAAUUGUGGAAGUCUGAUCCAUAUGGAGGUUGAGUCCACUUUUGAUUCGCUUAGUACAAAGUUGGGUUUCCACUUUCUUACUGAAAUGAAAUUGCCAGCUAAGAACCAAGGACCCCCAUGGAGAAGUGAAGAUUGACUUUCUGGUUUGGAAAGUUUAAUAGUAAAAAAACCCAUCCCUGGAUCUAUAAGACACAAUGAUUCUGAGAGUUUCCACAAAUCCUCUAGUUUCUUUUUAAGAUAUUGUUGGUUAAAAUUUGAUUUGACUGGCUUGAUGACGACAGAGUGGAUCCCAGGCGCGUAUAGGCGAUGUUUGUCCUCCUCUGAUAGUAGGAUUUUGUUAUCAGCAAUUUUCAGAGUUUUAUCUUUGGUGGAUGCUGUAGAUCCCGAAUAAGUAGUUGGGGUCAUGAUUUUCCCCACCGCGAUUCUCUUGUGUGUGUGUGUGUGGGGGGGGGGGCUUUCGCCAUGAGAAUUUCUCUUGAGGAAUUUAUUAUUGGAGGAUUUGGUAGUAGGGGUGGAGUUAAGGUUGUAUCCAUGGCAGGGUCGGUGCCAAUGGUGAAAGAAAGAGUAGAAGAGAGGGAGGUCUUUCUCUCUCUAGUACUCUUAUAAAAUAAAUUUCACUUAAGUUUCUAAAACACUCACAACUUCCUUAUUUAUUCAUUCCACUACUGUUAGAGGGACUAGAGACUUCAAAUUAGGACAAGUUAGAAAAGAGUUUAACUUAUUUCCACCCUCAGUGGAAACCUUGUUUUACCCAAGUAAUUUUAAUAGGUAAUAAAUAAUCAGGACAUUAUUUUUAUAGAAUCAUUUCCUUAAUUUCUUGAUUUUUUCUCUCUCUAUUCCUAAAUUUUAAAACUUGGUAAUUUUUCUUAUACAUGUUUUCUACUUAAAUUUUUUACUGAUUCGAAAAAAAUAAUUGUUGUGCCUAUUUUUAUAAAUUCUGCUACCAUAGUUUUACAAUGAAUUAAAAUCAUUCAUAUAAUUUUUUUAAAUCUCGAUUUAGUUAUUGAUGGUUGGAAUUUGAGAGUUAAAUGAGUUAACUUUUCAUUAUAAUUUUAUUACAAGUUUGUUAAAAAGUGAUAUAUUGUACCGUCAAAAUUAAAAUAGUUUACUUUUUAUUAUAACUUUUAUAAUCCCAAAUGUACGAUCAAUAUUAAAAAAUUUGAAUCUCAAAAAGUAAAAAGUCUCAUAAAAAAGUUGAAAGCUGAUGCUACUAAUUGAUCCAAAUUAGAUGGUGAUUGCUUUGAAAGUUAAUGCUACUAAUUAAUUCAAAUUAGAUGGUGUUGAAUAAUAAUAAAGUAGAAAUUAAUGAUCAAUGAAAAUAAGACACGACUGAUCCUUCGAAAUUUUAAUAACAAAGUCUAUAAAAAAUAUUAAUAGAGUGAAUAUAGAAUCCAAAAUAAAAAUAAUCGAAACUUAUUUAUAAUAGACUUUAAAAUACUUGCUUGUGUAAAAAAUAAUUUCGACUGACGAUGGAUACUAGUAAACUCGUUAGAAAAUAUGCAGUUUUUCAGGUGUCACGACCCGAUUUCUGAAGUAGUGAUGCCACCUACCUUAUUUCCAGUAGGCAAGCCAAGUCAUAGCCCAGAAUAAUAGGUACCGGGCUAAUUGGCAGAAACCAGAAAAGAUCGCGUAUAAUGAUAGAAAUAGUAAUAACAAGCAAAAAAUAGAUAGUAAACAUAUACCAUAUAUUAAAACAAGGGAAGAAAAAAGGACAAAAUACACAAAGGAAUUCCUCCAAAGACCUGGUAAGAUCGGUACUAGAGCCACUACUAAAAUAUACCCAGAGUAUUAGACAGAAUCCAAAACAUACACAUUAUAUACAAGCAGUCUCGAGUAAAAAAGACUAAACUAGAGUAGAUAGAGGAGGAUUAGCCUCGGAUGACAGUAAGCUCACCCUGCUCCAUAUCAGUACUAUAAGUGUAAUGCCCCGAAUCUGGUACCUAAAACACUACAUGGUGCUCAUGACCCCAAAGGACCACAAGCUAACCCAUGACUGAUAUCUGUACCUGUAUACUGCAUAAUAUACUGAAUAAUGCAGAAACAUGAACUGAAAGGCCAUAAGGUUCACACAGCUGAAGUAAAACAUAACAUCUAAACAGGGUAUAAAAUACCCAAAACAACUAAAAUAACUGUCUGAACAUAAUAGUCUGGAAAGCCUCUAACUGACGGAACUGUCUGAGUAAGGAGUUGAUGGGACAUGUCCCCUACUAACUACAACUAAUAAACUAAUUACUGAGAUAGUAAAAUGAUGAUCAUGUUCUCAAAAGAUGAGGACUCACUGCUAGCUCUGACAGCUUAGAUUGGAAUCUACUGAUGCUCUGGAGCUCGUGUCUUUGAACCUAUGGUAUAAGACACCAUAGCGCAAAUGCGUCAAUACUUUGAAUGUAUAGGUAUGCAUGUGAGGUAGGAUGAAUGCAUGGGGUUCAUAUGCAUGAACAAUACUGGCUAACUGACUAAUAUGAACGUGAGAAUACAUGCUUGCAUACAUAGUAACUAUAUCUGAAAUCGUGAUAACAUGAGUAUGCUGAUGACUAACAUGACUAAUGACUGAAUUCUAAUAACUGAUAACAUGAGUGACUGUAUCUGAUAGUCCUGAAUCUGAUGGAACUAGCUGAGUUCCAUACCUUAUCUGAGUUGACUGUAUCUGACAAUCCUGCAAUCUGAAGAACUAUCUGAGUUCUUUUACCGAGACUGAUACUGAGACUGUGGGAGGUAGUCAUCUAACCGAUAUGCCCCAAAUGAUGCAUUAUAGCUGAAUUAAGGUCUAAUCUAUGCCCUCAAUACCACGCCACUAGUAAGGACAACAUGUGAGUGAUCCUAAUAUAACAGGUAACUCUAGUGAGAACGGUGGGAACCCUCAUAUAGCAGGCUAUGAUGUCUCAACCUAUGUUGGCUACAUAGUUUUGGAACGCAAAUAUUGCUUAUAAGAAUCACACCCUCAUAUAACAGGUGAGUUCCCAUCCUUGGAUUCGCUUGGUACUAAUUUCUACUCCCAUCUGAAUAGACACUGAACAUGAUUUACUAAACUAAACAUGGACUGAGUUACUGAUUUCCAUUGACUGAUAGAAUACUAUUGAUAUCUAACAACUGACUAAGUUCAUGAGAUCAUGGAGAUUUCCUGAGUCAUAAGAUUGUCUGAAGUCUAAGGAUCAUAGCUUGAAUGAGAGUAUCGUGAAAAUAUGACAUGGCUCUAGGCACACAGCUAAUGUUUCGGGUACAAGUACCCCCAGGACUAGAUAGAAGGAAACUAACGAAGCAUGACUUUAUCAAGUACAAGACCCACGUCAACAAUACAUAAUUUAAUAAGUUGUGGAUUUCACAAAGUGCAGGGUUAUCAUACUAUCUAACAUGGACAAGAAUGCUGAUAAUUAUAUCAUAAUCUCAUAUUCUAAUAUCGUGGCCAUUCUGACAACAUACACAUUUCACAAUGAUAGCAUGAAAACCAUUUAAACAUAGGAGGAUGACAAGCAUGUCAUAUUUAGAUUAUGUCUUGAGCUAUAAACCAUGAUUUCUACUUUUUCGAGCAUUUUAUCAACCACCUUGCAUGCACAACUUAGGGCAUAAGUGAAUUCAUCAAAUUACACAUCAUAAGCAACUAAAUUCAUGGAUUUUAUCUUGCAUGGUAACAUAAUAUCAUGAUACACACGUAAAUAUUUCAACUUUGAAAUCAAUCAGCGUCAACAACAUGAUUACAAAUAACCCAUAACAUAACUACCAUGAUUUAUAGAUAAAACAAGGUUCUUGAGUUUCAUGGAUGGAAGGAAUCCAUGAAUGAACACAUCGCAUACCUUAGUUUGUGAUUUCCUGAAGAUUGACGGUGAAAUCUUCUAGAAAUAGGAUCUUCUAUAAAAACCCUAGCUUGUUCUUGAGAGAAACUAGUAUAUUUUGGGUGAAAANNNNNNNNNNNNNNNNNNNNNNNNNNNNNNNNNNNNNNNNNNNNNNNNNNNNNNNNNNNNNNNNNNNNNNNNNNNNNNNNNNNNNNNNNNNNNNNNNNNNNNNNNNNNNNNNNNNNNNNNNNNNNNNNNNNNNNNNNNNGCUAUCGCGCCGGGUCAUUGGAUUUUGAUAAUUGGGAAAUUGAGGGAUGGCAUGAUGCGGAGCCAUCGCAUUGCCCCUUCUUUUGCGACCUGAAACUUUGGCGCGACACAGAGAAAAUUGCGCCGAGCCACCGGAAAAGGACAAUUGCCAUUUUAGCUUGUGGCGCGGUGUGCCACUGACCAAUAUGGCGCUGUUUUACAAUGGGAACUUGAAAUAGUCAUAACUUCUUACCUAGUUAUCAGAUUUAGGUAAAUUUUACAUCGAUGGAAAGCUUAUUGAAUACAUGAAAAAAGUGAAAAUCUUAAAGAUACCACGUGUACAAAAGUGGAUUCAUCUUUCAAAGAAAACUCCUAAAUUUUUUUUGAGACGCUUUCAAGCUAGAAAAAGGUACGGGGUAUUACACUAAGGUAGGAAUCACGUCAAAGUCAGAUUCUACUACUCGGAUCUGUAUCAGGAAAAAGAUGCAGAAGUGUAGUAUGAGUACCAAAGCAACGAGUACUCAGUAGGCAUCAUCGGCCGAUUGAGUUCAAUAUAGAAAAGGUAUAACUACAAUGCAAGGGUCUAAUCUAAAUCAAUAGUAAAAGGGAUAGAAAGGUAAACAACUGCCAAGAUAAGUCAAUGAGAUAAAAGAAUUAAUGUAAGUGAUACAAAAAAUAAAUAACGCAGUAAUUACAGACAAAUCAAAUAUAACCUAACUGCCCCUCAUAAGCCCGCUAGGUACAUAACAUAACCUAACUAGGCCCCCAUAAGCCGGCUAGGCACACUGAAGAUGAUAAUUAACCCAACCGUACCCCCAUAAACCGGUGGGACACACAAGUAGCAAUUAAAGAAAAUAAACGUAAAUGAUAUGUAACUGAACCAAUCUCAAGAAAUCAAGGUAGUCAUCCAGAUAUGCACCGCUUGAACCGGCACCAGUAGGUAGUUACGAGAGGCCAGAUAUUAGACUCGAACCGAUAGUGAUGGAUAAUAACUAGAGGACACAUGCCGGAUUCAAACCGAACAUAGUAGAAAAUAACGAUAGGCCAGAUAUAUUAUAUACACAAGAUUUCAUAAUCAGAUGCCGAACUCGAACCGGAACUCAAAGGAACCACAAUCAUAAUCAGAUGUAGAAACUUAAAGGAACCACAACCAUAGUCAGAUUCUUGACUCGAAUUGGGACUCAUAGUAACCAUAACCAUAAUCAGAUGCCGUACUCGAAUCGAAACUCAUAGUAACCAUGCCCUGUUGUAAUAUUAAAAUUCAUAUCAUACCAUAACAAUGUCCACGUGGUACCAAAAUUCACAAUUAAUGAUAGAAAUAAAGUAUAGACUGAAUCUGAACAGAAGCUAAAAUACGUCUAAAUAACCAUUCACAAAUCUUAAUUAAAACGAGAUAAAUUCAAGGUUUUGCAAUUUAAUUGUACGUCCUAAAGUCCUAGACGUUAUAUUAUAUAGAAAACACAAUACCAAAAUUUACUAGAACGGGGUCCUAAUCCAGAUAAAUAAGACAUGUUAUAUAUAUCAAAUGAUAAGCAAUUACAAGUAUAUAUCCAAAGAGAGCAUAAUACUUCACAAAUUCAGUAAAUAGACUCAAUCUAAAGGUAGGGUAAGUUUAGCCUACCUGGACGCGAAAGUUAAAAUGUAUUUUUGCGAAGAUUCCAGAUAAUGCUAUUAAAAUACGAACUUGAAUAACUUGAUGUAGUUAAUAAAUUUUCUUCCGGGUAUCAAAUAAAUUAUCAAAAUUAUUCACUCCACUAAAAUUUUCUUAGUGUGAACGAGAAGUAAUAAAUACCGAGGCUAAGAAAUUUAACCGUAUAUUAAAGAAAUAGUUUUUCUCAAGUUCAUUACUCUAUGUUAAAAUAUUUAUAUGUUAGCCAAAGAUAUGACUUCUGAAUAAUAUCUAUAUAUAUCUAGAACCUUAAAUUCUACUAGUACUUAAAGUAGUGGGUGACUUUACACCUUUAACUACUAAAUAAUAGCAACAAUGACAAGUAGCAACCACAAUCCACCAAGACAUGUUGUACAUGUUCCUCCAUUCCACGUGGAGUGUUGUGGAAACACCCCUGAUCUCUGUUAUAUUCGCACUCAGAUAUUGUAUAAGUUCAUGAUAAAAUAAAUAUAAUAUUUUAAAUAUAUCAAAAUUAAUAGAAAUUAUUUAUAAUAAAACCUUAUUUAAAUAAUGAUAGUAUUUUAACAUUUUUAAGUUUACUAUCUUCACUUAAAUUAUUAAUAGACUAAAAAAUCUAUUAUAAAGUAAUAUAAAUAUAUUAUCAUUUAAAAAAUUUUACCAGUAUCAAAAUAUUCUAGAAGGGUAUUAAAUUAUAUUUCUACCAAAUGCCAAUUUAAAUAAAAUAAUUCACAAUAUACUAAAUAUUACUAAAAUUAAUCAAACGAACUGCCUGAAAAUCGAACUUUCAAUACCAGCAGGUCAUAAAUAACUUGAGAUAGUUAUAGAAAAUUUCUGGAUACCGAAACUGUAUGAAAAUAUAUAACCGUGAGGGUCAUUACAAUAUCCACUACUAAAAGGACAUUCAUUCGCGAAAGUAAUGUAUAAGGACGUACCCGAGGGCUUAAAUAGGUAAGGAUACUGGGCGUGCAUAUCACGCCUGAGAGGGAGGCUAGUAUAAUGCCCCGAAAUCCUUUCCCGGAGCAUUACACGGUGCUUAAGGCUACAAGUAGCCCCAAGCUAACCCUUUGAGACUGCUACUUAGAAUAAAGCUUACUUAAAGAUAAUGAAAGCAAAAUAAGGAUCCAUAUCUUAUCAUGUCUAACUGAAAUUUGAAUGAGUACUAUAAAGGUAACAAAAUACUACUACUAAACAAACUAGAAAGCCAUUGGGACAUAUCCCCAACUGACUCAAACUGAAUUGAAAGUAGUAGAACAGCUACUAAAAAAAAUACUGAAGUAUCUAGAUAUAGGUCCUUGAACCAUGAGGACUCACCACAGUGAAGAUGUAGAUAAAGGUACUCGGGAUCACUGACGCUACUAGGACUGAGCACCUGAACCUACAUUAUGAGACAAUAUAGCACACAGACGUAUAUGUGGAUCAACACUUGGGAAUGUACUGAGUAUAUGAGGGGUGUAUGCAGCUAAAUAUCAAUGCAAUAAAUAUUUAUAGAAAACAUACAUGGUAUUGUAUAUGACUCACAUAACUUGAGUAAAACUCUCAUAAAUAAUAAAUAAUGAAGCAUGUAGUAUAAAUCACGUGAGCCAUUACACUUUGUUCUAAAUCUGCAUUCUUUUUUUGAUCUCAAGCUUGUAAACUAGUUGAACUCUUAAAACAACAACUUUUAGAAUAUACACUUUAGUCUUUUGAAAACAAGGAACUUCUUUGAAACUCAAGGACUUAAAAUCUUACGAACUUUAAGACUUGAGACUCCAGGAAAGUUGGGAGUUCCUUCUAACCGACAUAAAUUAUGUGAGUUACAUGGAGUCCAACGUCUUGCACACAUUGGGGAGAGCUGUUCUAUCCUUGCCAUUGGAGUAGAACCUUUACUUUUAGUGAUCAGUAGCUUAACCCACUUGGGGUAAAUCAAAUCCUAUGGUGGGUCGUAGUCCUGUGGCAUGAGACCUCAGAAUCAAGCCCAACUCGGUACUAAGUACUACUCCUAUACUAGGCUCAAAACUUUUAGGAAAAUCCACCUUAUACAAUUCAACAUUAUGAAUUGGGAUCUAAUAUGCUUCCCUUUAACUUAAAUCAUAAGAUGUGGAUUCCUUUCUUAACUCAGGAUCAAAAUCAACUCUUUUCUUUAAGCUUUGGUAGACUAUCUUUAACAAGCUUUGAAACUUCAAUGAUAUGGAGAUAUCAAUACCAUACUUGAAAUACUAUAGAAUAUAUCAAAAUUCAUUCUUGGACCUUAAAACAUGUAUACAUAUUCAAGAAAUCUCAAUUCAAAAUAGAGGGUAAAUCAUGAUUUCAACCUUAAGAGUAUUCCAAACAUCAAUCAUGGAAGAAAUAUGCAAUUCAUAAUAUUAAUUCUCAUUUCAAAUCAUAAAAUAGGUGUUGUAUCAUAUAAUUCAAGACUUGAACAAAUUCAUAAUCUCAUAUACUUGAAAUAUAGCAAUUUAGGCAUAAUUCAUCAUGAAACAUUAAAAUCCCUUAAGAAAAAUCAAACUUUGGACACAAGAACGGAAGAAGUGUUCUUGUUCAAACCCCACAUACCUCAGGUUAUGAACUUGGGUGGAUAAACUUGCUUGAGACUCUUUCUCGCACUUUUGGAUAAGGGUUCUUGAAGCCCUUGACUUGGGAACCUUGAAGCUUGACUCAACUUGGUAAAUCUAUGGUGAAUUCUUAAGAUCCUUGGAAGAGGUUUUGGGUACUUAGGGUUUUUAUUUGAAAGAACUCUUAAGAAAACCUCAUAUAAUGCUUGGAAUAACUUCAAAUCUGAUGUUUGUAUCGUUUAAGAGGUUUGAAAAAAGUUUAAAGUGCCCUUUUUAACUUCUGUACAAAGCUGGAAAAAUUGAACUGGAAAACCCAAUUAUAUGAGACACCAGGACGUGCCACUAUCGCAGUAGCUCACUGGAAAUUGACAAAUGGGAUUCUUGGGGUCACCGCGAUGCGGAGCCAUCAUGUUAUCCCACUGGUAAGGACUUGGAACUUUAGUGCGACGUGCCACAAUCACGCUAGGCUAUUGGAAUUUUACAAUUGUCAAAUAAACCCUCUCCGCGAUGCGCCAAGCACUAAAAUGACGCUUUUUUACCACCAGGACUCAAAUUUGCCAUAACUUCUUGUCCGAUUAUUGGAUUUGGGUGAAUCUUAUAUCAUUGGAAAGCUAAUUAAAUUUCCCACUUGAUAAAAAGUUGAAAUUAGGAAAAUUCUAUAUGGUUUUAAUGUUAUAGACUUAGGAAGUCAUUCCUUAGCCUUCUAGAGAUGAAAUUAAACUUAAGGAAAAGUUGGGGGGUAUUACAGCUAGGUAGGUCGGUCGAGAACACAAUAGGAACUUACAAACCAUAGGGACGGAGUCACGUGAUAGACUCUAAACACUAACAUCCUGAACAUAAGAAUGAAAUGACUCACAACCCCUCGAAUUCCGUCUCCUAGCCUAAUGUAAGAAAUAAUCCCUAUUGACGCACGAUUAAUAGAGCCUUGCCACACAACCGGAGAUAUGCCAGGCAAGGCUAAAGUAAUAGUCCUAAAAAAUAAUCAAAUACCGCAUGAUAACGAGAUACCUAAUCCAUGCCUUAAAUCACAUCAAAAUCUAUAAUAUCUAGGACAAUGAGAUCAGCCUGUGUACCAAACCCCCAAAUAAUCACCAAACACGAUCUAUAUACCUGAUCCACUAUUAAAGAAUUACCCACAAUGAUAACUAUAUGCAAUGGCACAGAUAAAGACUCUGAACAUGAACCCAGCCGUGAUGUAAUAAGAAGAAAUAUAUGAAAAUAUAGAAUGAUAAUCAAUCAAUGUAGAAGUUGGAUGAUGGCAUACGAAAAUCAUACCAGUGGUCACAGCAACCGAAGCCUCAGUCUCAAAUAUACCUGGUAUAGAUAUAAAUGACCCUGUUCACUAUUGGACUGGGUGUCUGGCCGACCACCGCUAAAACUUUGAGACCAUCCAUACGACUCUGUGAAUCACCCCUACCUUACAGCGACACUGACCUAAUCGACUGUGAACUCAAAACUAAAGGCUCAAUCAUCCUACACUGAGGACAUUCACGGGCGAAGUGACCAACAACCUGUAAUACCCCACAUUUUUCCUAGCUUAAAUUCAUUCCUAAAAUAUCAAGGAUUUGCUUCAAAGGUGAAUACCUUUUAUUUCAUGCGGUAUUUUCUAGAUUUAGACAUUUUAUUAUGUGGAAAAUUGAAUAAGCUUUCAUUGAUACCAAAUUCGCCUUAUUCCGACACUCAAUUGAGAAGUUAGAGCAUUUUUAGCAAAAUAGUGUGCCACCUGGGCACUUGGCACAUCGCGGAGGUGGGCAAAAUGACAAUCAUAAAUUUCAGUGGACCUCCACGAUAGCCCCGUAUCACGGAGAAGCCUAAAUUCCCAAUUGUACCAUUCCAGUAGCCCAGAGCAAUGUUGGCGCGUCACGCCAGUGGCCAAAAUUUCAAAACUAUAGGGCACCGUAAUAGUUGAGUCUAGUGUUGGAUGCCUAAUUUUCAAUUGUCCAAAUUUCAGUCAGCCACCGCGAUAGUGGCGCAUCGCUUAUGCCACCCAAUUCAGAAAAAUAUUACAUUUUCAGUUUCGACUUAAAGUUUAUAAGGGGCAUUUGGGUUAAAUCCCAAGGCCCCAAUUUGUCCAAAACAAAGAAUUUAACCCAUUCUAAGCCUAUUAUACUUAUUUUUGAUCCAUCGUAUCCAAAUAAAAAAUCCUAGAGUUUAAAGUUUUCUCUCUAAGAAAUCAAAAUCCUCCAUUGUUUCUCCAAGAAAACUCAAAAUUGAGGAUUCUCAAUUCAAGAUAAUCAAGAGGCCAUCUUCAAGAGCACAAUUAGUGAUUCAAAUUCAAGCUUUCUUAGAAAUUUCAUCAAUCAGGGUAUGUGGGGUUAUGAACAAGGACAAUCCUUUUGUCCUUGUGCCCAAAACUUAUCUUAAUUUCAAUUUUACUGAAUUUUAUAUAAUUUCUCAUGAAAUUAAAGUUAGGAUUUAUACCUAUUAUUUUUAUUUACAAGCUUAUGAGAUUUCCAGUGAUUUAGAUGUUGAGUUACUUGAUUAUGUUCAUAUUUUCAUGCAUAUUGCAAAAAUUUCCAAAUUUUGAAUUAAUUUAACAAUGAUUACAUUAUCAAGCGUGAACAUUAUGAUAUUUUAACAUGAGUUUGAUGCAUGGGUCAUUAAGCCCUAAUUAAAGAUUGCUAUUUCAAGAUUUGUUGUGCUAUAAGCACCCUAUGACUAGAUUUUUACUCAUAUGUAUUGAUUAAUGGUAGUUGGAUCGCAUCCCAGCUAUCUAUAGUCAGUAUAGUAGAGGCUUCAUAGACGUCAGUUAAAGUCAGUUAUGUAAUUUUGGUCCCUCUUUUCAUACUUUAUCAGAAUGUAAAAAUUGUAUAAGUAUUGUAUUUUUAUAGAUUCCAUCAUUUCUAUGUUUUUGAAUAGUAAAUCCAGUUAUUUUAUACAUAUUUAAUCAAUUGCUUGAUAGUAUGCCAGUUCAUGGGUUAGCUUGGGAUCACUUGUGGUCCUAAGCACCAUGUGACGUCUUGGGACAGAUUUUUGAGGCGUUACAAACUUGGUAUCAGAGCACAAGGUUCAAGUGUCCUAGGGUGUCUGUGAAGCCGUGUCUAGUAGAGCCUUGCAAAAUGGUACAGAGACAUUUGUACUUUCCCUUGAAAGGCUACAAGGCAUUUAAGAAAAGUUUUCUUUCUUUCAUACUCUAAAUUGUGCUGUAAAGUUAUUCUUUCAAAAACUUCUAUCAAUUCGCGUGUUAAUACAUACUUCUUUAUCUAUGUUGUAUUCUUGAGAUAACAUGAUUAGAAAGCUCCAGUUCCUCCCUAGAUAAUACUUUCAGAUUUACUAGCAGAAACUUUAGAAGUUACACAAGGGGCUUGAGAGGAGCUCCCUAGUGUGUUAAGUUUCUUAAGUUGAAAGUUUAUGUUCUCAUCCUUAUGAGUUAUUGAGUUGAGACAGAAUUAGAUAUGCAUUUAGAUUACCUAUUGAUCCUUUUCAAUACAGAUAAUACUCAUGAGAGAAGAUAGUAUGAACCUUGACUGUUUACUAUGGUAUACAUAUGAGGGAUAUUAUGAACUUUAGUGUUAUGAUUUAUGAAUAGCAGAACCUUAUUAUAGUUGGAAGUAUGGGUAAAUAAGAAUAGUGACGAGAAAAGUGAGAGUGUCGAUUGAUAGAAAGUAUAGAGAUAAACUUAUGCAUGUUAUCGAGAUGUGUUAAGGUGAUAUGUUCUUGUGUGUUAUUUUUAUGGAAGGAAGAAAAUGAGUUAAUAGUUAAGGUGAAUUGUUGUUUGCUUGAAGCACGGAAGAAGUUAUUAUGUAAUUAUUGUGUUUGAAAGGUAUAGGAUAUUGAUAAAGUGUUUGGUGAUUGAGUAUCAUUAAUUUAGGCUUCCCAUAAGGUUACAAAAAAGGAAUUUAGCUGAAACCUAUAGAGCUAUGAUAGUAAACUAAAUGUAUAGAAGGGUGAAUAGUGAUGAUGUGUAGAAGGAGGAUGUGUUAAUGGAUUGUAAAUAAGAUAGGCCAUCUGAUUUUGAUCGAUUAUUAUGGUUACGAGAUUCUAGUGGGCUAGUGUUUCUUGAUGCUUUAUUAUAUAGCUUCCCAGUGAGAAUAUUAAUAGUAUAUGAGGUUGGGUUGUUGCUCAUGUUUAGCACUAGACAUAAGUUUGAACAGUGGGUAGCCAUCAAGGUGGAUAUGAUAAUUUCUUGGUUAGUGAUGCUAGUUAUAUGGAAAUGAUCUAUUAGUCUUGAACAGUAUGUGCAAGAGUUUGAGUUUAUUUAAUUCAUAAAUAAGUAUGAUGUUAUAUGUAUGAUAAAGAGGUAUACCCAAGGUGAUAUGGGGUUGCAGUAUUUUCCAAGGUUAUUACGUAUUGUGUGUGGUUAGCAGUACCGUUGAGUUGCUGAGAGGAAGGAGACUAGUUAUAUAGUAUAUAAUGUUGUUAAUAUCUAAUUUAAGGAGUUAUGAGUAGAUGAUAUUGAGCCUUUUUGGUAUGAUCUUGAUUCUCAUGGUUUAGAAAUAUAAGUUUAGAUAUGUGGUAAUAAUAGACCAUGAUAGAAGCAGUAUGAUUCAUUAAAGGUUGAUGAUACCAAUAUUAAGUGUUAGAAUCUAAGUUUGAAUCUUUGAAGAUUGAGCAAGUAGAAAUAAGAGUUGAAGCCCUAGGUGGUGUGACCUCAGGAUAUGAUUAUACUUAUGAAGAUUCUAAGUUAGUAAGUGUUCAAGAUAUUAUGUGAUGACUAGUGGGGCUAUAGAAAGAUAGAGUUGUACCUCGGAAGGAAGUAUUGGAAGUGGGUUUUUACACUUUCAGGUGUAGUCUUUCAGAGUAAGCUUAUUAUUUGCAUGUAUUGUUGUGUUCUAGAAUUAGAGUGGUGGCUUAAAACUAAGGGGGAGAUGAUAGAAUAAGUACCAAAUUCAGACUUCUAGAUUCUAAUAAGUGAUUCCAGUGUAGUAUAGAAAGUCAAUAAGAGAGGAUAAUGCUCGACCCAUUCUCAUCUCAGUACAAAGUUUCGUACUUUAGUUAUCCUGAUAUUUACUCAUGCCUCACAUGUCGCUUCCCUAACUAUAUCUCAUGUUCAUGCAUAUAAUAGAGAGUCAUGUACUCUCCUAGUUCUUAGUAAGAGGAGUUCUAGUUCAUCCAGCAGUUGGAAUCACAUUCUAUAAGUUACGAACUCCAAAUUCAGGUCAUGCAGCUCAUGACUCAUGUACUCAGGCCUUACAGUAUGUUCAGUUCUAGUACUCAUGCAACACUCUUAACGAGCAACGAAAUUCAGAGUUAUAUCAUGUACGUCCUCAGAUUAGAUCUCUUUAGUGAAUCCAUGACAUGAAUACUCUAUUCCUCAGGCCUUAGCAAAGUGUCAAGUUAUGCUUAGUUUUCCUUCAUGUUUCAGAACCUGGCAUUCAAACCCUUCAAUGACCUCCCCUAGGUCAAGAGAGUGAUGAUGAGAAAAAAAUUAUGUAGAUGGAAGAGAGUGAAUGUGUUAUGUUGGAAAAGAAAAUAGUUGUAUGCUUGUUUUAUGUAAGUCUAGAGGUGGAAAAUAUUGAGGUAAAACUUUUUGUGUAUGACUUAGUUAGUUGAGAAUAUUUUAUGUGUAUUAUCCUAAGAAUUGAAUAGUGCAUGGAAAUUGUUAUUGAUAGAGGUUUAGAGAAUAUGAGAAAGAUGCACUUAUGGGUAUUUGUUUAGAAAUGCAUGUGUGGUUAUGAAAAUAGGCUUGAAUGUUAUGUUGGUAUCUAAGAGGAUAUGUGUGUUGUGCAUUUAAAGAUUUCUAGUAAGAAGUUGAUUUUAGUUGUUAAAGUGAUAAGAAGAAUCAUCCUAGAGUGAGUAGUUGUGUGACAAUGCUUGGGGUAUUGAGUUCACAGUUCAGACUAGUAUUAUGAGGUUAUGUGCAGUACCCUAUGAUUUUGAGUUAGGCUUGACCUCGAUGAGAGAAUUUAGUUCAGUUUAGACUUUAGUAGAUGGAUUUAUCAAUGCCAUGUGAGGAUUAUGAGUUGAAUCAAGUGAGUAUGGUAUUUGAAGGGAAUAGUAUAGUUGAUGGAAUGUUUGAUAAGCGUUACUAAGAUUGAAAGUAUGAAGUUGCAUUGCUUAAGCCCCAGAAAUUCUACCCUGGCUUAUGAUUUAUAAGUUUAUAUUCCAUGCUAUAGAGCCGUAGCAAUGUUGUAAUUCCUUAUUCUGAUGGUUUGUUAAGAUCAAGUCCAAAGUUCUUUACUCCCUAAUAUCGUUAGAGUUUCUUAGAAAAGUGUUAAAGAAAUACUCCAUCUGGGCAUGAGCAUUCAAUAUGAUUCAGUCUGUGUAGCCAGAAAUCCAGUUUAACAGUCAGACAGAUAAAUCUCUAUAGUUUUUCCAUCUUCCGAUUUAGUCUAGUCUCACUAUCUAAAAUUUUUUGAGUAUGGCCAUUUCAAGAGGUAAUUUGUUAGCAUCCAGGUAAAUUGCGAAAUUUUGCUCAGUACAUGCAUCAUGCAUUAGUUUCAGAUUUAGAUAUUAAGUCAUGGUUCAGUCCAUAAGUAUCCUGUAUAUCAUCUCAGUCUUUUUCUAUUAUUUCAACCAAAUUAGUGUCAUUCGGGGACGAACGAUCCCAAGGGGGGAGAUGUUGUAAUAUCUCGAGUUUUCAUGUCAUAAACCUCUCAUAUUUUUUCUCACGAAAUCAGAUCCAGCCUAAAUUAAUGGUUACUCAUAAGUUGACUCUCUCGUUUCUACCUCAGCCAUAUAGCUAUUUUUAUGAGAAUUCAUGCACUCGCAGAUCAGUUUAGCAGCUCAUUACGUUUAAGAUUCAGCUAUUCAAUUUAUUUCAGUUGUGCAUGAUAGCUUAUAGCCUCAGAUUCCUCAGUAUUUUUAGCUUAUUAUCCACAUUCGAGGACAAAUGUUCUUAAGGGGGAGAUAUUGUAAUACCCCGUACUUUUUUCUAGCUUAGAUUUAUCCCUAGAAUGUCAAGAAUUUUAUUUAAAGGUGAAUACCUUUUAUUUCAUGCGGUAUUUUCUAGAUUUAGACUUUUUAUUAUAUGGAAAAUUGAAUAAGUUUUCCAUCAAUACCAAAUUCACCUUAUUCCGACACUCAAUUGAGAAGUUAGAGCAUUUUUAGCAAAAUAGUGUGCCACCUGGGCACUUGGCGCAUCGCGGAGGUAGGAUAAAUGACAAUCGUCAAUUUAAGUGGCCCUCCGUGAUAGCCCCGCAUCGCGGAGAAGCCAUUCUAGUAGCCCAACGUGAUGUUGGCGCAUCGCGCCAAUGGCCAAAAUGGCAAAACUAUAGGGCACCCGAUAGUUGCGCGUCGCGUUGCAUGCCCAGUUCCCAAUUAUCCAAAUUCCAGUAAGCCACCGUGAUUGUGGAGCAUCGCAGUGGCCACCCAGUUCAGAAAAAUAUUACAUUUUUAGUUUCGACUUGAAGUUUUAAAGGGGCAUUUUGGUCAAUUUCCAAGGCCCCAAUUCGUCCAAAACAUUCUAAGCCUAUUGUGCUUAUUUUUCAUCCAUCCCCUUCCAAAGAAAAAAACCCUAGAUUUCAAAGCUUCCUCUCCAAGAAAUCAAAAUCCUCCAUUGUUUCUCCAAGAAAACUCAAAAUUGAGGAUUCCCAAUUCAAGAUAAUUAAGAGGCUAUCUUCAAGAGUACAAUUAGAGAUUCAAAUUCAAGCUUUCUUAGAAAUUUCAUCAAUCAAGGUAGGUGGGGUUAUGAACAAUGACAAUCCUUUCAUUCUUGUGCCAAAAACUUACUUUAAUUCUAAUUUUACUGAAUUUUAUAUGAUUUCUCAUGAAAUUCAAGUUAGGAUUUAUACCUAUUAUUGUUAGUUACAAGUUUAUGAGAUUUCUAGUGAUUUAGAAGUUGAAUUACAUGAUUAUGUUCAUAUUUUCAUGCAUAUUGUAGAAAUUUCUAGAUUUUGAAUUAAUUUAUCAAUGAUUACAUUAUCAAGCAUGAACAUUAUGAUAUUUUAACGUGAGUUUGAUGCAUGGGUCAUCAGGUCCUAAUUAAAGAUUGCUAUUUCAAGAUUUGUUGUACUAUAAGCACCCUAUGACUAGAUUCCUUUUAGAUUGUCAUUAAAGAUUUGACUUUUUUUUGCCUCAGAAAAGGUUUGGAAUCCACUUUACAGAUUCAGAUUAUAGAUUUAGCUUUACAGAUAUACAAUGGGUUUUCAUUGUAAACCACUAUACUAUUUUAAAAGUAAAUUUUCAUCAGAAUGAGCAUACAAAUUUAAUGGGAGUAGUAUUUAGCACCGAAAUGGGUAUAUUACUACAGUUUCAUACCCCAGAACUACGUGCCCACAUAGGAUUUAGAUUGUUCCCACUUCUACGUGGGUGAUAGAUAUGUGAUCACUUAGAUAGGGUAUACUCCCUGGAAAGAGUAUGACUCCUCUCCCCAACGUGAGGAUUCCUCAUUAGGGGGACAAGAACGUUGGACUCUAUGAAUGCUCACAUGGUUUAUUUCAGUUAGAAGAACCCCCCAUGCAGAAUAAGUUUUCAGAUUUCUAAACCCUUAAGAUAAAGUAUUUUCUCUAAUAGAAAAGAAUAACAGAAAAGCUUUUAGAAAACUAUGUGUAAAGGCUCACGAAUUUAUUCAAACUAUGCUUUACAGGAAGACUUUAGCUACAGUUUUCAACUUUCAGACCUCAUAUUUAAGAGUGAGUCCUUUCUACACUUUGACAGUAUGUUUUACAGACAGAACACUUUUACAACUAUCAAAACUAAAUGUUAUGACUUACUAGAUUUAUAAAGUAUGAUUCGCUAUUCAUGAUUAUAGAUUUCAGUAUGCCAGAUAUUCUAGCUUAUGUGAGUCAUUUACAUUUAGCAUGCAUUAUUUUAUAAAUUAUGAUGAUGAGAUGAUGUUUUACUUAUGCAUUUCAUACCCAUAUACUCAGUACAUCCUCAAAGUACUGAUCCACAUAUAUGUCUAUGUGCUACAUUGUCUCAUAAUGUAGGUACGAGUUGUAGCACGCAUUCCAUAUUCAAAUAGUUGCAGAUUUCAUCCAGCUGAUGAUGAGUCCUCCUACUUCGGAGACUUUAGUCAGAUGUUAUUUAUGUACUUUACUUUUUUACUCAUAUGUAUUGAUUAGUGGUAGUUGGAGUCACGUCCCAACCAUCUAUAGUUAGUAUAGUAGAGGCUUCAUAGACGUCAGUUAGAGUUAGUUAUGUAAUUUCGAUCCCUGUUUUCAAACUUUAUCAGAAUGUAAAAGUUCUAUUAGUAUUGUAUUUUCAAAAAUUCCAUCAUUUCUAUGUUUCCGUAUAGUAAAUCCAGUUAUUUUAUACAUAUUUAAUCAGUUACUUAACAGUAUGCUAGUUCAUGGGUUAGCUUGGGAUCACUUGUGGUCCUAAGCACCGUGUGAUGUCUCGGGAUAGAUUUUUAGGGCAUUACACAACUCCAUAGUCAUAACAUGUCCAGGUUGCAACUACAGAUGCAGGUAGUCUAUUUCAGACUUUCUGCAGUAAUACUAAGAAAGGUGAAUGGGUAGUUGAUAAGAGAUGAUAUAAUCCUAAAAUUAAACUAAAAUUAUGGGAGAUAUCAUGUAACUGACAUUCUCCAACCUAAGCUAAUCAGGGUCCAACUUGUAACCUCAAAUGGAAGGGUGCCAAUACCUUUCCAAAGGUAUUAACACUGGUUGUGUGUAUCCAGUAGUCUCAUGUCUCGAAAGACUAGGGUGUUAGUCCUUUACUAUUGGGUGACCCCUAAGAGAGUGUUAGUGCUCUAAUAGUGGGUGAUAUCUCACAACCUAUGAUGGCUACAUUGUUGUAGAACUUAGGGACUGCUACUAAAGAUCUUAAUCCUCUACUGAUGGGUGAGCCUUCACCCCUAGGUUCUCUGGGUGCUAAAUCCUACUCCCAACUAAACUAACACUGGUACUGACUAAAGUUAACUGGACUCAUAACUGAUAAUUUUUCAUCAUGAAUAUGAUAAUCUUAAUAUAAUAAUAAAAUCAUUAUCUAACCGACUUAUUGCUUGAAAAUGAAAACAUGUAUAAACAUAUAGGUAUCAGGGGUUAAAAACCCACUAGCAUUGAAUAAUACUUUAAUGUAUUAGUAUGUUCAUAAUACUCUAAGAAAUUCUUGACUUGUAGAUGCAAGACAUAGUAUAUUUCAUUAAACUGAUGAAAUCCAUGAUUAUGAGUAUGGAAAUAUGUUAAACUUAUGAGGACAACUUGUUCACAUGGUUUAAUUCAUAACUUGACAGAUUAACAUGGUAUUUACCUGAACAUGACAUGGGUGACUGAGAUUAUAGAGAAUGUAAUUCAUGACAAAUCUAUACAAACUCUAAAUCAAGCAAACAAUAACAAGAGUCCAAAUUAAAAAAAUCAUGCUAGAUUCAAGAAAAAAAACCUACGUUAUUCAUUUUUUCAUACAACAUGCUUUCAAGUUCAAAAGAACAACUUGCAUAAUUGGUAAUUAUAGUACCCAACUAGAGCACCAAAUAUUCAAUUGGUCUUGAAGAUUUUCUAACUUAUAAUGACUAUCUCUUUCCUCAGUUAUGAUUGCCAACCAUCCAUUAUCUGGAAAAACCUUUCUAUUAAUGACUAAAACAAAACCACUACUAAAACCAAAAGAUACUCAAUUCAAUGGCUUACCGUAAAAAAACAACCAAAAAAUCAAGCAAUGGGUGAAGUAUGCUCUACCCAAGACUAAUAUCUAAAUACCAAAAAAACUAUUCUAAUCUAGAGGAUAAAAGAAAGAUUGGAAUUUUUAGACUUUCUCUUUUUUCUUUUCAAAUUUUCUUAUCUAAAGAGAGGAAACAAAGAAAAUAACAAACCUAAGGUGUACUUCACCAUUUCAAAAUAUUGUAAGAUAUCCUAUCCACACUUAAUGUCAUACUUUAUCUCAAAAGCAAUAAAUAAAAUAAAAACACCCCAAACCUCUUCCAAAAAUUCUGAAACUCUCUCGGAUGACCCUUUUAACACCCCUAAACAUAUUUUAACUCAUAAAUCAAUGUUUCAAACAUGGAAAGGACAAAAUUAAUUAUUUAAAAUCUCAAGGUUUUAACAUUACAUCUAGUCUUGAUAUGUUGGAUAGUAGCAAACACAUACCUAAUAAUGACAAAAGUAAGGUCCACCUACCAAAUGGGAAAACGGUUGAUAUCUCUCAUAUUGGUAGUGCUUGUGUUCUACAGUGUCAAUCCAUGUCUAAUGUUCUCUAUUUACCUGACUUUUAGCUCAAUCUAUUGUUAGUGUCCAAGCUCAGUAGAUAACUGCAAUGCAUGGUAGGAGUCUUUCCUGAUUUCUGUAUUUUUUAGGAUCUCUCCACUGGUCAGGUGAUGGGGAUUGGUAGAGAAAAACAUGGCCUCUACAUACUAAGAGAAGGAAAAAGUCAAGCUCCAAAGAAGUUGGUCAAUAGAAGUGAAUCUCAUAAUAAGUCUUUCUGUUCUGUUACUACCUCUGAGUCUGUUAAUGUUUGGCACAAAAGAUUAGGUCAUGCACCUGUAGAUAUAAUAAAGAGACAUGACUUUCUUAGGUCACUGAAAAGUCAAGAAAUCUCUCAUUGUACAAUUUGUCCACUAGCUAAACACACAAAACUUUCUUUUCUUGUAAGCUCUCAUGUUUCUAAAUCUGUGUUUGAGUUGCUGCAUUGUGACAUUUAGGGUCCUUAUAGAGUUCUAACUCAUAAUAAAAAAAAAGUAUUUUGUUACUGUAGUGGAUGAUUAUAGUAGAUAUACAUGGGUUUUCUUGAUUGCUACUAAGGCUGACACUAUUGUGGUCCUCAAGCACUUCCUUACACAAGUGCAAAAUGUAUACUCUACCACAGUUAAGACCUUGAGAACAAACAAUGGGGUGAAUUUUUCAGCCAUGUAUUUCAAGCUCUAUUAAGUGAUCUUGGUAUUGCUCAUCAAAGUACCUGUGUGUACACCCUUCAGUAGAAUGGUAUUGUUGAAAAAAAGCACAGAACUAUCUUGAAUAUGGCCAGGUAUCUCAGGUUUCAAGCCUCUAUACCACUCAGGUUUUGGGGUGUGUGUGUCACUACUACAGUUUAUAUCUUAAAUAGACUCCCAUCUAAAGUGAUUGGCUUUAAGUCACCAUUUGAAAUAUUACACCAGCACUCUCCUUCUCCAACUCAUCUUAGGGUUUUUAGUUAUUUGUGUUAUGCUACAAAUCUCACCAUCCUGGAUAAGUUCUCUCUAAGAGAAGUUAUUGCAGUCUUUAUGGGGUAUUUAUCUUCACAAAAGGGGUACUUACUACAUGACAUUCAUACUCACUCCUUCUUUAUUAGCAGACAUAUUACCUUUCAAGAGGAUUUUUUCCCUUUUAAGCAUAUCAAAGCUGGAUCUAAUCCUAUAUUUCAUGUGCUUGAAGUUAUACUUCCUAGUGAUAACCCUACUACUACUACUUCUGAUAUCACUGAUACUACAGAUAACUCUAAUGUCAACACCUCUUUACCCCAUACUACUAUUGUGGACAAUCCUACACCUUCUGAAGCUACACCCUCAUUGGUUUCCCUACCUUAUUUUGCUGGUCCAACAAGCAUAGUAAGCCUCCCUUGUGGCUGCAGAAUUUUAUUACUAAUCCAAAGGGUACCAGAUGCUCUCACCCUCUGUUUAAUCAACUCUCUUACUCUCACCUGUCCCUCUCUUAUAGACAGAUCUUGCGAGCUUAUUCAACUUAGUGUGAACCUGUGUCUUUUAAAGAAGCUGUUGCUGAUCCAGCAUGGGUCAAGGCUAUGCAGCUAGAAAUUACUACACUAGAGCACAACAAGAUAUGGUUCAUUAUUGAUCUUCCACUUGGUAAGAAGGCCAUUGGCUGUAGAUGGAUCUACAAAAUUAAGUAUCUCUCCACCGGUGAAGUGGAAAGAUAUAAAGUCAGGCUUGUGGCUAAAGGCUUCAGCCAAAAGGAAGGCUUGGAUUAUAGUGAAGCCUUCAGUCCUGUUGCUAAAAUGGUGACAGUUGGAUCAGUUGUUGCUCUUGCUGCUACCAAAGGUUGGUUCAUUUAUCAGAUGGAUGUUCAUAAUGCCUUCCUCAAUGGUGAUCUAAUAGAGGAAAUGUACAUGGAGAUUCCUUGUGGUUUUUCCAGACAGGGGGAGACUCAUAAGGUCUGCAAACUUCACAAGUCCUUAUAUGGUCUCAAGCAAGCACCAAGGAAAUGGAACAUGAAGCUGACUGAAGUACUAGUACAUAUGGGAUUCAAGCAGAGUCACUAUGACUACUCAUAUUCACAAAAAUAGUUAAUGGUGACACUGUGGUUGUGUUAGUCUAUGUAGAUGAUCUAUUAUUAACUGGCAACAAUUAUAAACUUCUGUGUGAUACAAUGUAAGAGAUUCAAAAGAAGUUCAAGAUGAAAGAUCUAGGUGAACUAAAAUUCUUUCUAGGAAUUGAGUUCUCUAGAUCAUUCAAUGGUAUAGUAAUGUCACAAAGGAAGUAUGCAUUAGAGCUAGUGGCUGAGACUAGACUAGGGAGAGCUAAGCCUGUUGGCACACCACUUGAACUAAAUCAGAAACUUACAUUAGUGAAGUAUGAUGAAUACAUUAAUAAUGCAAGUGUUGAACGGGAUAACUUGCUUGCAGGUCCUACAACAUAUCAGAGGUUAGUAGGAAGGCUUCUCUAUCUUACAAUGACAAGACCUGAUCUUGCAUUCUCUGUACAAGUGUUGAGCCAGUUUAUGCAUUGUCCUAAGAAAUCACACAUGGAAGCAACUUUAAGAAUAAUCAGGUACAUCAAAGAAGCACCUGGUUUGGGAAUACUAAUGCCUGCAGGAGAGAUAACACAACUCACAGCCUAUUGUGACUUGGAUUGGGGUGCCUGCUUAGAAACUAGGACGUCAGUUACAGGUUACUUAGUUAAAUUUGAAGGAGGACUCAUCUCAUGGAGGUCAAAGAAACAAGAGACAGUGUUAAGGAGCUCAGCAGAAGCAGAGUUCAGGAGCAUGACAACAUGUGUAACAGAAAUAACUUGGCUGAUUGGCCUCUACAAGGAACUAGGUGUAUGUGUAACUACUCCAGUGAACAUGAUAUGUGACAGCAAGACAACCAUCCAAAUUGCUGCAAAUCCUAUCUUCCAUGAAAGAACAAAACAUAUAGGCUUUGAUUGCCAUUUUGUUAGGGAAAGGAUCUGCCAAGGAAUGUUGAAGACUGAACACAUUAACACCAAAGACCAGCUUGCUGAUAUACUAACUAAGAGUCUUGGAAAAGUUCAACACAGUCAGCUUCUUAGUAGACUUGGAAUGAAGGACAUUUUUCAACCAUAAGCUUGAGAGGGAGUGUUGACAGCUAGGAUUGGAAAACAAGUUGUAUGGUGAAAGUAGUUAGGUGAUUGAUUAGUUAGUCAGAGAAUAAUGAGCUGACAGUCACACUAGUGUAGGGACGGUUACUAGAUGCCUAUGUAUAUAUACAAAGUGGAUGCUAGCAGCUAAGUAACACUGUAAUGUAACAGUGCUCAAUAAAAAAAAAACUUUCCCUUUCAAUUCUCUCUCUUUCUUCCUUCUUACUCCUACUGCUAUUUCUUAAGUCUUCUGUAUGAAGUUAUCAUGAAGUUCCCAGGUAAUUACGCCGAAUUCACAAGUGCUUUUGUGCCCUCACUCAAGGCCACAUUUAGUUACAUAAGAUGGCAGGAAAACAUCCAAGUACACAAGACUUGAGCUUCGCUUCAUUUGUAGUAGUUUCAAUUUUCAAUGGAAAUUCAGUUUGUCUGCACAAUCAUAUUAUGUUUGGUAAUAAAAGAGAUCCACAGAUAAUGAAAUUUUCAAUUUAACCAUAUUUAACUUGGGAACGGUCCUAUACAGGCAAAAACCAAAUUUUGAAUGCAAUGUUGUUCUUCAUCCAUAGUUUCUGGGGUUCUGCUUUCACUUUACCACAGAGUGUAUUAAAGGAAGUAGACGGGAAUGCAGAGAGCAUAGUUGGGGGUGGGGGUGUUGGGGAGGGGUGAUGUAGAGAAAAAGAAACCCUGUCUAGUCUCUUGGGAGUAUGUAUGUUAACCAAAGAGUAAAGGUGGAUUAAAUGUUAAAGAUUGCAGGAAAUGAAAUAUUGCAUACGUGGGGAAGUUGUUGUGGCAGUUAGUGGUCAACAAAACCUCUUUAUGGGUAAGAUGGGUGUAUGGUGUUUAUCUGAAAGAGGAUGGCAAUAUUUGAAAUCAUAUACCCCUAGGACAAUAGUUGGUACUGGAGGAAGAUAAAUUUCCUGAAGGAACUUAUGUUAAGUUGGUAUCUUAAUAAUGUCAACCUCUGGGAAGUACUCCGUCACUCAAAGUUAUCUUAAAUUACUUAGUGAUCAUGCUAAGAUGAAUGAAGCAGAGUUAGUAUAGACAACUUUAGCUCAGCAAAAGCACAAGGUUAUUGCUUGGAUUGCAGUUAGGAACAUACUCCUAACCAAGGAAAUAAUGAUGAGAUUGGGGAUGGAAGUGACUGAUCCUACUUGUUGCUUAUGUGAAGUGCAGUCAUUGGAAACAAGUCAACAUCUUUUUGUGGAAUGCAACUGGAUUAAAGGAAUUCACGAAGAGCUCAUGUUAUGGACUAAUAUUCACUUGAAGAUGGAAAGCAUGAAGCAGAUGUUGCUGGACAUUAAAUGUAAACACUGAAAGAAACAUAAAAAAGAGGUGAUAGCAACAACUUGUGAAGCAAUGCUAUAUCAUAACAGGAGAGCUAGGAGUUGGAAAAAUUUUCAGCAUAGAACCAUUAAGGCAGAGGAUGUAACUAGUCAGAUAAAGGAAGAACUUGUACAUAAGAUGGAGAUGCUAGAUUCCUCAAAAAAAGCUUAUAACCGUAAAGUGUGUAUUAGGAGACUUCUUUGUAUAUAGAGUGCUAGUGUCAUCUGUAAGUAGUUGAUUUUUGAGACUCUCCUCUUAAUGUUGCUGUCGAUAGUGAGAGUGCUCUUUAGGUGUAUUGAUUGAAUUGUUAAUGAUACAUUUACAUAAUUACCAAAAAAAAAAAAUUUGGGAAACGGUGUUAAUAUGCUAAAUGCUAAUCACAUGAAUCCUUUCAAUCAUUUCAGUGAUUAAACUAAAAUGCUUUAAACACAAGAAAAAGUAAUGAAUAUCCAGGAUAAAGGUUACUUGUGUCAGCCGUUAAAAAUCUUGGAAGAUGGGAUUGUAACUUUUCUACUCAUGUUAAAUUUCCUCUCUGCUAUGAUAACAGAGACAUUCUCAAAUUUUAAUAUACUAGUUAAUUUUGCCCCAUUUCAGAGUCAUAAGAAACCUUUUCAGUUUUACAUUUAGCAAAACUUGAUGUCAUCUUUUAUUUUUCUUUCAGCAGAUAUUUUGUAAGAGGAGUGAAAAGAAAUUAAAGGAGGGCAAAUAUGGCAAAGAAGAAAGGAUGAUUGGAAAGUGCACCUACAUCAAUUCAUUUUCAAUAAAGGGUGUGUUUGGUAUGAUGGAAAAUAUUUUCCGGAAAAUGUUUUUCAAUUUUUCCUUGUUUGGUUGCAACAAAAGUUUAGGAAAAUAUUUUUCAAGACAAUUUAUUUUCCACCAUUUGAUGGAAAAUGACUUCCCUCAUGGGCCAAGAGAAGUCAUUUUUCAGAAAAUGACAAAUGUGACUUAUGAUCUCAUCCUCACCCCUCUUCCCAUCCCAACAACACUUAUAUAUUCACAUGACUCAAAAAAUUUACAUUACUCAAAAAUGUUUUUCACUGUGCUUUGCUUUAAUUUUUCACUAUUUGAAAUAAAAAAUAAUAAAGUCCGAUUUUUUUUCAUUUUCAAUUCGUUGAAUAUAUUGUUAUUUUCAUAUGCAUAGAGGAAGACUUACUUAUGUUAUCUUUGUUAAUUGCAUAUUUCAUUUUGUUAUCGAUGUAACUUGUUUCACGAGGUUGAAUAAGUUUGUCGUUCUGUUACAUUUCUAUUAAUUGUAGUAUCUUAAGAUUGUCCUAACAAAAUACUGAAAAGUAUCUUCUAUAUUUGUUAAUUAAUAGUUGCUUAAAUUUAGUGAUCGUAAUAUUAUAGUAUUCGAUAUUGAUAUUAUUUGUUAUACUUAAAUUAGUUCUUACAAAUUAUUGAGUUGCUAAAGGCACCGAUAUACUAGUUAACAGAUAGUAGUAUUUUCUAAAAAAUAUUUUUUCACUCAUCAAUCGAACACUAGAAAAUAUUUUUCUAAAAAAUAUUCUCUACUCACCAACCAAACACCAUAAAAUAUUUUUCGAAAAAUAUUUUUCAUUCACCAACCAAACAUGAAAAAAUAAAUAGAAAACUAAGUUAUUUUUCAGAAAAAUAUUUUUCAAAAAAAUAUUUUUCAUGGAAAAUAUUUUUCAAAAAAAUAUUUUUCAUGGAAAAUAUUUUGGAUCGUACCAAACACACCCCAAAUGCUCACAACUUGUCAAAAGUUCAAAAAAGCAGCAGGAGCCAGGAAGCUCACAACUCCCUUAUCCACUCACUCCCACUAGUAACUUAUUGGAUCUAAACCAACUAAUAAACAUAAGAUAUUUCAAGUGUUAGUGAGAAAAGAUACUUCAAUAUUAGCAAUGCAGUUCAUCAAGGGACUCACAAGGAAGAAACAAUCAUCAUCCUCUGCCUCUGCAGAAACGCGGAAGAAAGAGCAUGAUUAUUAUUUAGAGAAUGGAAGUGCAGUACUAGAGGAGCUUCUUGCUUUAUGCGAUGGAAAUUGCCGAAUUCCCAUCCGUUACUUCACUGCCACUGAUAUAGAAAGAGCAAUAAAGCACUCUGAAAACAAAUUGUAUAUCGCCGAUGGGCAUAUGGUUACGGGAUCAUUGGACAAACGCCUCGUUUUCAUUAGGACUUUCCCUGGAUAUUUUAGAAACCAUUUUAAUAAUAUUUUCCGAGAUAUAGCAAUUACUGCUCAGAUGAGUCAUCUCAAGAAUGUGUUGAGACUUGUCGGUUGCUGUAUCGAAUUUGAAGAACCAGUUAUGGUGUAUGAAUAUGUUGAGGCAACAAGUCUUUAUGCUUUACUUUUUGAAAAGGAUAAUCAUGAUGAUGAAACUAGAAAAUCAUUAUUAUCUUGGGGAAGUAGAUUACGGAUUGCCCACAAGGUCGCUUCGGCAGUCGUUUUUCUACACACUGAAUUUACUACACCCAUCAUCCACAGAGAUCUGAAGCCAUCAAAUGUGAUUGUAGAUCAGAACAGCGGUGUUGCAAAACUAUUGAACUUCUCAUUAUCCGUAUCAUUACCCCAGGGAAAAUUGGAAGUAGUAAAAGAUGUCGUUUGUGGAACGUAUGGGUAUGUAGCUCCAGAAUAUUCGGAGUGGUGUAUGAUUACUCAAAAAAUAGACGUCUAUAGCUUCGGAGUUAUUCUCCUACAGCUACUAACUAGACGGAAUAUGACUACUCUACAUUUAAAGGAUCGGGAUAUGUACUACAUAGUGGAUCCUUCAGAUUCAGAUUUUAAGAUGCUAAACAUUGAAGAGAUUCAUGUAAUGGACAUAGCAGAUCCGGCCAUUUUGGAAGAACAUGGCAUUAAAAUUCGACAACAAUUGGAGGACUGCUUGGAUCUUGUUAAGAAAUGCACGGCUUAUAAGGGAGAAGAGAGACCAUACAUGAUUGAAGUUGCAAAGGAAUUAAGCCGAAUUCACCACUGCUUCCGUGCCCUCACUCUUUGCCGGAAUUAGUUACAUAAGAUGGCCAAAGAAAAAAAUAAAGUGCACAAGAAGUAAGCUCGGCUUUUUUUGUAGUAGUUUCAAUUUUCAAAAAAAGGUCAGUUUGUUUGUACGGUCAUAUUGUGUUGGAUUAAAAGAGAUCAGCACAUAAUAGGAGUUUUAUUAUUUUUUCCUUGGUUAACUAAAUAGACAAAUACUCGUUUCAUUUUACUUGAUUCUAACGCUCCUCAUUCCGUAAUAUUCCGUCCAAUUUACCUACCACCAAUAUUUUAUUUUUGUUUUUGGAAAAGUGAAAGGCUGACAUUAGAUAGAACUUGAUUAACAAUGACAAUGAAAGUGCAUGGAAAUUCAGAAGAGAGUCCAAUCAAUCUCCACCAUAUUCAAUUUGCUGUCAUGUCAUGUGGAAUUCAAUGUAAAUAUUAAGACCAGCAGGAAACUUCCAAAUUAGCAUCAACUCAUCAAGACUAGAGAACACGAUAGAUAUCGAGUGUCGCAGAGAAACGAUAACUUCAAAAUUAGCACAAGCUAUUGGUAAGAAAAAGUGCCUUUCUUGAGGGGACUCGCAACUAAAAUCUUUUUCCCUUUGCCUAUACAGAAAGGAAGAAGAAAGAGCAGGAUUGUUAUUUAAAGAAUGGAAGUUCAAUACUAGAGGAGCCUCUUGCUCUAUGCGAUGGAAAUUGCUGACUUCCCGUCCGUUACUUCACCACCACAGAGAUAGAAAGGACAAUAAAGGACUCUAGAAACAAAUUUAAGCUCUCCGAAUGGUAUAUGGUUACGGGAUCACUGGACAAACGCCUUGUUUUAGUCAGGUUUAAUGAACGUCACUUCACUGUGCAAUUACUGCUCAGAUGAGCCAUCUCAAGAAUGCGCUGAGACUAGUCGGUAUCUGUCUAGAAUUUGAAUCACCAGUUAUGGUGUAUGAAUAUGUUGAAGGUAUAGCUCUUAGCGAUCUACUUUACAGAGAGGGUAAUCAUGAGGAUCAAACUAGAAAAACAUUAUUAUCUUGGGAAAUAGAUUACAGAUUGCCAAUGAGGUCAUUUCUGCAGUCGUUUUUCGUUAUACCGAAUUUACUACAUCCAUCAUCCAUAGAAACAUAAAGCCUGACAAAGUGAUGAUAGAUCAGAGCAGUGGCGGUGCCAAAAUAGUGGACUUCUCACUGUCAAUAUCAUUGCCUCUAGGAAAAUUAGAGGUAGAAUAUGUUGUUUGUGGAAAAUUUUGUUAUAUAGAUCCAGAAUAUGUCAUCUCACUGUUACUCAAAAGGUAGACGUUUAUAGCUUUGGAAUUCUUCUCUUUGAGCUAUUAACUGGAAAGGAAGUGCGAGAGAUUAUGAAAUCCAAUAUUAGAGAGGGUAAUGUUAUGGAUAAAAUGUAUUCUGCAAUUUCAGAAGAGACAACAGAUUUGGAAGAACCCGCUAAAUUUAAUGUUGAAGAGGACAAUGUUAUGAAUAGAGUAAAUUCAAUUUUAAUGAAAGACUAGAGUCUGAAGAAGAUUCCACAUUCAAUACUGAAGAGGGUAAUGUUAUGGAUAGAGUGGAUUUUGCCAUUCAGGAAGAGAUAAUAGAUUUUAAAAAUCUUCUAACCAACAUCGUCCAUCGUUAUAUCAAAGUGGGUAAUGUAGUGGAUAUGGUGGAUCCUACCACUUUAGAAGAACACGGAAUUGAGAUUCAACAACAAUUGGAAGAUUUCUUAGAUACUCUGAAGAGAUGCACAUCAUCAAAGGGAGAAGAUAGACAAUACAUGAUUCAUGUCGCAAAGGAAUUACGCCGAAUUGAGAAGUGUUUCCGUGCCCUUACUCUUGGUCAGAACUAAAUUCAAGUGCACUUCACCAAUGUUUCACUUUGAAAACUGGAAAAAAAGAACAAGAAGAAGAGAAGAAGAGAAGAAGAGAAGAAGAGAAGAAGAGAAGAAGUUCACCUGUAUAUAUAUUUGGUUCCAAUUUCAAGUAAAUUUAGCUUGUUUAUACGGUCAUAUUUAUGUUGAACAAAUAUGAGAUUUGCAGACAUUGAAGUUGCCAAUUUGAUCUUUCUGUUGUUCUAUUUGGACUGAUUUCUCCUUCAUUUUCCAGUUUGCAGGAAAUAAAAGUGAGACCAUAUUAAUUAUAUUUACCAUGAAUUUAAGAAAAAAAAUCAGACUAUGCCAUUUCAUGUCAUUUAUCCUUUGUCUUUACCAUUAAGCCAGGUCCAUGUAAUUAUAAUUGGCCAUUUUGUAAAUGGGUACAAAACACCCCAUCUAUAUCAAGUUAUUCAAAUUUAAUGCGGAAUAACCAAGUUAAAUCAAUAUAAGUACUAGAGCAGAAAAACAAGUGCACAUAAAUGUUGGAGAACAAUAAUAAAAUAAUACCAAUAUUAUUCAACUAUUAAUAAAAUAUUAUAAUAAUAAUAUUAGCAAUACAAUAACAUAACAUUAUAUAAUAAUAUUACUACUUCAGUGAUAAUAUUAUAAUUAAUAUGGCAAUAUAACAGUAAUCUAACUACUUCUUAACAUGUUAAUAAUAUAUUCAUUAUACUUGAGUCGUGCUAGGCACUGUCCUAAGAAACUAUUUCAGUAGUAUGAAAUGUUUUUUCAGGAUUAAACAAGCACUUCCCUGAUCAAUUAGAGGAUAUUCUGAGUUAAAUAAAUCUUCCCUAAUUAAUUAGAGGAUACAAGAAUCAACAAAAUUAUUAAUACAAAUAUUAGCAAGUUAAAUCAUAGGUUUAAAUAAGAGAAAACUAAAGAGGAAAUUUAGAAUGUUAAGGAUUGAGGGAGUAUUUAUAGGUAAGACUUAACUUCUCAAGUACACCUCUUGAUGGCUUCUAAAGUAAGUCUUCUCAAUUAUCUCUCUUAAUGGCUUCAAAAGUAAGUUUUCUCAAGUAUAUCUCCAGAUGACUUCCAAAGUAUAUCUCGUAGUGACUUUCAAAGUAAGCCUUUAAGUGGCUUCUAAAAUACAUUUAAAGACAUAACUUUUUUCAAUAUACUUCAAAUGUAAAUUAUUUUGAAAUAAUUAAAUAAUUUUCCUACAAUCCCCACAUUAUUUUAAAAUAAUUUUAAAAAAAAGAAUUUUAACUUAUUGGAUUUGCAUAGACAAAAUGCAGUGGGUUUGGUGUCUUCUGGAUUAGGAACCAAACUUAUACCAAUAAAAUUUAACUUACAGAAUUAUCGGAGAAAUAUAAUAUUUCUAUGAACUGAAUAAUUCUUAUUGUAAGCUAGAGAUUUUAUUAAUCGCAUUUUGACUGUAAUUUUGUUGUUCAAUGUAAUUUUGCGCCAAUAGGCCAUGCUCGUGCCUAGUAUUCAUAAGAGAUCUAGAGACUAAGGCCAAAAGUCUCAUAAGAACAACCUCAUUCCACUUCUCAUAUAGAUGAAUUCAUCAAGUGUACACUGCUUUAAAUACACCAUCUAUAAGGACUAUGAAUUCAUUAAUAGUUAAUAAUUCAUCUCUCCAUUUUAGUAUCAGUUCAAGCACUCUCAAUAAGUCUGCGGUGUCAAUAUCGACUUGUUAUUACCCAUAUGAACCUAUUUCAUAGAAUCUCUAAUCAUAUAGGUUGAGUUACCAUCUCCAUUGAAAAUUAUAUUGGCCUUAACCCUAUCUCUUUUGAUGUUUGAAGAAUUAAUUUUCUUCCCACGAGUUUAGUCAGUGAAUCGGCCGAAUUCAAUUAUGACUUCAAAUAAUCAAUAAAAAUUAUUUCAUUUCUCAGCAGCUGCUUAACAACAUCAUGCCUCAACUUCAUAUGUCUACUCUUACAACUAUAAGAUUUAAUUUUUCGCAAUAGCAAUUGCGGCUUGACAAUUACAGUGUAUAUAUACAUGAGGCAUCAGAUCAUCCUUUUUUAAAGAGAUAUUAGACAACAAAUUAUCCUUUUUCAAAGGGAUAUUAGGUAACAAAUCAUCAUUUUUCAAAGGGAUAUUAGGCAACAAAUCAUUCUUUUUCAAAGGAAUAUUAGGCAACAGAUCGUCCCUUUUCAAAGGGAUAUUUGCUAAGAAAUUUCUUAACCAUUCAACCUCAUUACCAACUAACUCCAGAGCUACAAUUUCUGAUUCCAUAGUUGAGCUAGCAAUAAUUAUCCGCUUAGCUGAUCUCCAUGAUACUGCACCACCACUAAGGGUGAACACAUAACCACUAGUAGAUUUUGUCUCAUCUGAAUCAGAGAUUCAAUUUUCAUCACAAUAUCUUUCUAAGGUUGAAGGAAAUCCACUAUAUGAGAUACCAUAAUUUACGGUUCCUCUCAAAUAUUUCAUCAGUCACAUUUGUACAGACCAAUGCUCAUUAUUAGGAUUAUGAGUAUAUCUACUCAGUCUACACACAACAUAGGCUAUAUCAAGCCUAGUAAAAUUCAUUAAAUGCAUUAGACUUCCAAUAACCUGUGCGUACUUAGACUGAGCAACUGGCUCACUAUUAUUCCUUUUUAAUUUAGAAUUAGCAUCAUAAGGAGUGGCUACAGUAGUUAUCUUCCAACAUUCAAACUUCUUAAGAAGUCUUUCCACUUAAUGUUCUUGUGACAAAAUUAUACCAUCUUCACUCCUUAUAACUUUAAUUCCCAAGAUUACAUUCACUUCACCCAGAUCUUACAUAUCAAAGUUAGUAGACAAAAAUAGCUUGGUAUGUUCUAUAAUAUCUAAACAUGUACCAAAUUUAAGUAUGCCAUCAACAUAUAAAUAAAUUAUCACAUAAUUAUGUCUACCACUUUUUUAAAAACACAUUUAUCCACCUCAACAGAAGAAAAGCCGUCUUUUAUUAAGACUUGAUCAAAUUUCUCAUGCCACUAUUUAGGAGCUUGUUUAAGGCCAUAAAGAGAUUUACUUAAUUUACAAACUUUAUUUUCUUGUCCAAAAAUUAUACAUCCUUCGGGUUAAACCAUAUAAAUUUUUCUUCUAAAUCGCCAUUUAAGAAAACCGUUUUUACAUCCAUUUGAUGGAUAAACAACUUAUGAAUUGAUGCUAAGGCAAUUAAAAUUCGAUAGAAGAAAUUCUUGUCACUGGUGCAAAUAUAUCAAAGUAAUCAAUAUUUUAUUUUUGAGAAAAUCCUUUAUCUACUAAUCGAGUUUCAUAUUUAUCUAAAGAUCCAUUCGAAUUAAGUUUUAUUUUGAAACAACCAAUCGAUUUUGCAUCAGGAGGUAAAAUCAAUUAAAACCCAUGUAUUAUUUUUCAUAAUUGAAUCAAGUUCAAUUUUUAUUGUCUCUUUCCAAAAUUUAGCAUCAGAAGAAGAUAUAGCUUCAAAAUAAUUUGAUGGUUCAUUAUCAACAAGAAAAAUUUUAAAUCAUUUCCAUAAGAAAAAUAUUCUUUUCUAGGCCUUUUACUCCUUCUCAGUUCCUCAAUAUUAGAGGUACAUUCAUUUUCUCUUUCAAAAGGUGCAUGUGAGAUUUUACCACAUAGUGAAAAAAUAUGUUCAAAGAAUUCAACAUUCUUUGUCUCAGUUAUAGUAUUAAUAUCAAGUACAUCACUUUUCAAGACAAGAAAUCUGUAUGCAGCACUAUGUUCAGCAUAUCCAAUAAGCAUGCAAUCAACAGUUUUAGAACCUAUUUUUCUCUUUUUAGGUUCAGGAAAACGAACUUUAGCAAGGCAACUCCACACUUUUAAAUAUUUCAAAUUAGGUUUAUAACCUUUCCACAAUUCAUAAGGAGUUUUGCCAGUUCUUUUAUGAGGAAUUCUAUUCCGUAAAUGACACGCAGAUAAAAUAACUUCACCCAACAAAUUAUCAGGUGCAUUAAAGCUAAUUAACAUAAAAUUCAUCAUUUCUUUCAAUGUCCUAUUUUUUUCUUCAGCUACACCAUUAGACUCAGGAGAAUAAGUGUAACACCCCGCAUUUUCAAACUUAUCUUUGAACCAUCGUUCUUACGUGUAUAAGUUAUAAUCCAAAUAAUUCCCAUGUGAAUAUAAAUUUCAUGAUCUUUAUCCUCGUGUUUGAUGUGAUUUUGAGGUGAAAAAUAUUCAUAGCAAUGACCACUACAAAAAACGGGGUUAAUUGCGGGGUUAUUUUUGAAGGGGUUAUUUUAAUCUCCGUAAAAUUAUAUGAAUCGCGGGGGCUAAAAACUUGCAGCUAAAAUUUAUGAAUUUGCGGAGGUUUUUUUAAGGGGGUUAUUUUAACCCCGUAAAAUUAUAUGAAUUGCGGGGGUUAAAAACUUGCCGCUAAAAUUUAUAAAUUUGUGGGGGGUUUUAACCCCCGAUAUUCGUCGAAUAUAUUUGCGGGGGUUUAAAACCCCCUCUAUCCAUCACAAUUUUUAAUUAUUUUUAUUUUUUUAUAUUUUUACAAAAAGCGACGGAUAGUGUCACUUUUGUUACAAAUAAAUAAAAAUUAACUUUAUAAAAAUGACGUUGUUCGUCGAUAUUUGCUAUUUUUAAUUUACUAUUUUAAUUAAAUAAUUUUUAUAUUUUAAAAAUUAAAUGUAUUCAAUUAUAUAUUGAAUACAUUGAUAUCAUACGAUCGAUUGAUCAAGGUAAUAAUAUAUUGUUCAAGUCUUGGAAACAGUCUCUGGCAGAAAUAUAUGGUAAGGCUGCGUACGAUACACCCUUGUGGUGGGGCGCUUCUCCGGACACCGUACAUAGGGGUAGAUUUAGUGUACCGGGCUGCCCUUAUAUAUAUAUAUAUAUAUAUAUAUAUAUAUAUAUAUAUAUAUAUAUAAUAUCUCUCAUGUAGUGAAUCUAUAUAUCCAAAUAUUUUGAAUAACAUGUUAACAUCGUAUGAUCGAGGUAUGAAUACACUAUUGAAGUUAUAAUAAUGAAGCUAAUUAACCAAUAAUUCAUUGGAUUAAUACGUUGUAUUACUAUACAUAUAAUACCAUAUUCAAAAUUAAUUAAUCAAAAAUUAUUUGUAGUAUACGAAAUGCAUUGACAUUAUUAUGCGAUUGACAUCAUUAAUUUUAUUUACAUAAUUUAUUUAUAAUUAAUUUAAAAAUAAUAAUUUUAUUUAUUUUUAAUAUUAAUUUAUGUAGUUUCUAUAUUUAUUAAAUAUCAACCUAAUUCAAUUCAAUUUUCCUAAUUUAUUUAAAUUCUAGCCAUUUAUACUCAAUUUAUGUCAAUUGAGUUUAAUUUGACUCAAUUAAAAUCCCCAAUUCAAUCUUUUUAAUCCAAUUUCUAAUCCCAAUUUAACUCAUCUCCUCAAUUCUAAUCUUAACCGUUCAUCAUAUUUGAUCAGCGGUUAAUAUUAAAUCAAUUUUAACUAUUUGUUUUCUUGAAAUUAGGCAACUUAUUACUAUUUUUCUUGAACCAGGGGUCUGUUGAAAACAACCUAUUUUCCUUAAUGGUAAGGUUGGCGCACACUAUACCCUCUACAAACCCCAAUUUAUGGGACUAAAUCGAGUUAGUAAUUGUAUUCAUUUUCUCGAAAUCUCAUAAAUAAAACAAUCAAAAAAUGUCACCUUCAUUGAUUAUUAUUAUUAUUAUUGUUGUUGUUGUUGUUGUUGUUGUUGUUGUUGUUGACACUCAAUUUUGAUCUCCCGAUGUUCUCUUAGGCUGUUAUUUUAUCAAAAUUAUUUAAUUUUAGAUAUUAAUAUUUUUUAUACAUUAUUCUUGUACUAUAUAAAUAACGACGUGUCACAUUCAUGAUUUUUAAAUAUAUACAAAUUAUUUUAUUUCUUACUAUUAUUUUUAUAAUUUAUUAAUUCAAAUAUAACAUUUUACAGCAUUUUAUUAAUAUUUACUAAAUCAUUUUUUCUUCAUAAAUAUGCACUCACAAUUUACAAAUAUAUUAUCUAUUAUUAUUAUUAUUAUCAAUAAUUUUUAUUAUAAUUUUUCGUGACAUUAAAUUAUUUUAGGGACAUCUUGUUAUUAUUAUUAUUUUAUUUAUUAAAUUUAUUAAACUAACAAUCAUUUUUAUUUAAUUUUCCUUUCUUGUGUUUAAUCUUUAGUCAAUUUUUAUUUUAAUUGAUAUCAAUUUUAGUCAAUUCUGACAUCAAUUUUGUCCAUAAAUUAAAUCAUAACUUUUAACUCUUUUUCAAUAUUACUCUAUCAGAUUUUAUCUCAUCCAUUGAUAAAAAAUGAUCCAAUGACUGAGAUCAAAUCCCUAUGCCAUUCCUUUUUAAGCAAAAUCAACAAACCCUAAUUCUAUUUUUCCAAAACAAAGCCGCAUCUACCUUCUCUAUCUUCUUUUCCUUCUCUCUAAAACCAAACCAAUGCCAAGUACUAGCCGUCUCGCCGGCCUCCACCGCCCCUUCUCUCUCUCCCCCUCUUUCUCUUUUCUUUCUUUUCGUCCAUCGCUCAGCUGGAAAAUCCCAUUGCCGUCUCCCCCUUUUCUCCAUUCCUACUUCCAGCCGGCGCCAACAGUCGCAAUCCCAACAAAAAAUCCAACCGGAGCCCCGUCGACGCUCAUUUCCAGACAAACAACCAUCACUGACUGGCGAAUGAUCCUCCCAGUGAAGCUGAACUUGUGCCAGCCGUCGCUGACCGACGAAACUCGCCCCGAAUUAAUGACUUGAACUCAAAAUUGGUGAUGGUAUAAACAUUGAUCUCUCUUUAUUUCUUUGAAUUUAAUAACUAUUAGCUUCCUUCCUUUGUUCCUUCUAAUAAUUUUAGAAUUACACUUUAUUUUUCUUUUUAAUUUAAUUUUCUUGAUUCCUUUGUUCCUUUUAACUGCAAAAUCAACAAUUUGAGUUUCACUUUUAGUGGUGUAGUGCAGUAUUUAUCCAUAUUUUAUAAAGCAAUUUAUUAGUGGAAUUGUGUUUUUCAUCCAUUUUCUCAGGUGGGUUUGAUUUUCUUGAAGGUUUUUAUUAGAUUUAAUUGAUUAGUAUAGUAGUUUAACUGCAAAAUCAUCAAAGUUGGGUUCACUUUUAUUGGUGAUACUAUAAUAAUUUAUAUAGAUUUAUUAGUGGAAUUGUAUUUUUCAUACGUUUUAUUAGGUGGGUUUUGGUUUUCUUGAAGUUUUUGUUAGAUUUAGUUGAGUAGUGUAGUACUUUAACCAAUGCAUUCUAUAGCAAUUUAUGAGUGGAAUUGAGUUUUUUCAACCAUUUUGCCAGGUGGGUUUUGAUUUUCUUCGAGUUUUUUGUUAGAUUUAAUUGCUUAGUAUAUUAGUUUAACUGCAAAAUCAUCAAGUUGGGUUCACUUUUAGAGGUGUUGUUUAAUAAUUUUGUAUAGAUUUAUGAGUGUUCUAUUUCAUGUUUCAUUACGACCUUGGUGUACUAUUCUAUAUCUUGAGCCGGGGGUCUGAUGGAAACAGCCUCUCUACUUCUUCCAAGGUAGUGGUAUGGUACAUUUUACCCUCCCCAGACCUCACUUUGUGGGAAUUAACUAGGACUGUUGUUGUUGUUGUUAAUUUAAUUUUUUUAUAUUAUGCAAUAUCCGCUUAGAAUUGCACUUUAUUUUGUAUAUUUCUUUGAAUGAUUUUUACUGCUUCUUUUGCUUCAAUUUUCAAAAGUCUAGUCUUAACUUGGUUUGGAUUGAUGCAUCAGGCUUUUAAAUGGAAACAAGCUUCAUGGAUCAAUCCCUACAUCACUUGUCAACCUACAAUCACUUUCUUACUUGUGAGUGGUUUAAUGUUAAUAAUUUACUAUCUUUUGGCUAUCUGUUGGAUUAAGAGAAUAAGAUAAUGGAGAAAACCUUCUAUUGAAUAGAGUAAUAAGUAUAAUUUUCUUUUGUAGACUGCAAUUUUCUAAUUACCAAAUAAUGUGUGUUUAUACAGAGAUCUUUUUGCCAACUCCUUGAGUGGAAACUUGCCACCAUUUCAGAUGAAGUCUUUACAAUACAUGUAAUUAUUGCUACUUUAUUAAAACAAUUAAUAAUUUGUUAUCAUGGAGUUGUUUCCCUAAGUUUGUUACAACAUACAAAUAUAUAACCGUGCAAAUCUUGAGGUCUAUUAGAAAAAUAGGAAAAAAAAAACAUCAAGGAGUAGGCUUUGAGGUGUGAAUAUUCAAGAUCUUUAAAUAGAUCUUGGUUGUAUAUUCUUUAGUAGAUUACAAGCAAAUCUCUUCAGGAAAUUCUUUGUAAUCUGUAAUUUGAUUAGUUACUUGACAUUGUGAAUUUGUGAGACCUAUUUAUAUUUAUCAUGAUGUUUUUUAGUUGUACACAGAUAUAAAUGUAAUAAGGAUUGAAGGUUUAUCUGAUUGAUUUUUAUACUUUGCAUUUUUAUGUAGCCAAGUGAUGCGGCUAGUGGACGCAUUUCGCCCAUGGAUGCAAGGAGACCACGUGAUGAUAGUGAUCCUAAUGAUAGUCGUUGAUUUGGUUGCAAAUUGUCUUGAAUAUUCAAUUAGAUGAUGUAAUUGUGUGGUUGAAGCGAAUCUUAGAAUAGGUUUUGUGUUUAAAUUUGAUUUUGGAAUUUGAAGAUACUAGUUAAUGUUAAAAAAUUGGAGUUAGAAAUGUUAAUGUUAAAAAUUUAAUUUUGAAGUUCAAUGUUCAAUGUAUUUUUGAAAUGCUUGUGAAUUACAAUGUUUAAUUAGUCAUGUUGUGUGUUAAUGAUAUAUGAAUCAAAUAAAUAUUAGAUUGUAGGUUAUGCUAAAGGAAUAAUUAAAUUUGAGAUAAAAUUAGAAUUUAUAAUUUGUUAUUGAAAAUUGAUCGGUUUCACUAAUUUUUUUUUAAAAUAAAUAAAUUGCGGAGGUUUUAAACUGCCACAAUUUUGAAAUAAAAAUUAAUUAUAAAAAAAUAAAUUCAGAGUAACGAAGGUCACGACCGCCGCAAAAUAACCCCUGCAAAUUAAUUAUGGGGGUCGAAAAAAAACUGCCGCAAAUUAUUUGUGAGGGCUCGUAUUCCGGGGGUUUUGAAAACCGCCGCAAUUAAACCCCCGCAAAUCUUGACAUUAACCCCCGCAAUUUGAUCAAUUUUUUGUAGUGGACUUAGAACAAAGUUGAGCUAAGAUCAUUUGAUUCGUCCAAAUUUAAUAUUCAAUUCUAUAAGAGUCUACUUUAAAUGUGUAUAACUUUUAAAAUACGUGAAAUUUUUCAUCUCAAGACCCACCAAAUUGUAUAUAUUUUAAUCAUCUUUUUAACGAACCAAUUUCAUCAAAAUCUGAUACCCGAGCAAAAAGUUACAACUAUUUUUGUGAGAGACAGUAAGCCGAGGCGAUAUCUCGCGCCGCCCGGGUUACAACAUCGCUCUAGAUGGGGCGCUGUGGGAUCUACUCCCUUGGGAUAAAGAGGGAGGCGCCUUGUCCAUUCCCCAGCUAUUUUAAACUCCUUAAGGGUCAAGGAGCACUUUGAUCCUUUCCACUCAACCCCAAAUGUCCAAUGGACGAUUUAUAACACCCCAAAGGGCAUUAUUUGUCCACUUAUCAUCAUCAAAACUCACGCAAACCCUCCCUUUUUCUCACCAUGAAUAAAGUUCAACUUUUAUCUCAAAAACACAAGGAUUUAAGUUUAGAAUUCAAUAUUUCUACAAGAAUCCAAAAGUUAAAGCUUCCUAGUUCAAUAAACCUUCAAGAAUUAUCAAGAAUAGAGAUUCUUUCACAAGUUCAUCAUUCAAGUUCCACGAUUCAAGAUUUCUUCACAAUUCAAGAAACUUAAGGUAUGUGGGAGUUCAUCCAUGGGUCCUCUUUCACCCAUGGAGCCCAAAACUCAAAUUUCAAGUUUAAAGUCAUAAUCUUUAUUUGUUCCCAUGAAUUUUACUUAUAAAUUUUCAUGAAUCUCAAACUUAUAUCACGUUUCCAUGAAAUUGUUGGUGAUAUUAAACCUUACAUGUUUGAAUGGUAUUGUUUGCUAAAUUUGAAUCCUAAUUGAUGAUUUUAGAGAUGAAAUCAUGCUAUUACUACUAUUUUUAACUAUUCCUAUGCUUAGCCUAAACCAUGAAUUACAAGUGUUUGAUGAAAUGCCUACAAGAAUGAUUUUGAACAAAGACUUACAUAUUAUGUCCUUAGAGUUUUAUUUCAAUUCCAUGGUAGAUCCUAUAUUCAUAAUUUUUAGCAAUAUUCCCAUGUUUUAAAUUCAUGCUUUCCACAUGUUUGAUGAAAUUCCCAUAUGAUGUUCAAUAAAUUUCAAGAUAAAUUCCCAAGUUAUGAAUUUUGUCUUAUAACUUAUUGUUUCCUCAUAUUAAGACAUUCAUAUGGUCAAGCUAAGAUCUUUACAUGUUUUGAAGAAACGCCCAUGUUCUAUUUCAAGCGAAUUUCAUGUGAUUCCCUAAUCUAUAAUUUUUAAUUGUGUCAUAAUGCUAUGCUCCCAUGUUUAAGAUAUUCCCAUGUACAAGUUCAUAAUCCCCAUGUGUCUGAGGAACUGCCCCAAGUUAAAGUAUUAAUCCCCAUGUGGUGAUGAAAUGCCCAAGUGGUGGAUUUCUUUAAAUAAUGCUUUCUUAUUAUGGUUUCGAAGCUUUAGCAUGUCCCUAUUGUUAUUUCUAUCGAGUCCUAGGGGUUAUGAUACCCAAAAUUUAGUUGUUUACUUAGUUUUCAGUAGUUAUAGAAGGGUCCCCAUCAUAUCAUGAACGGUAGUAUUCGGUCAGUUAACAUGGUCAGCACGAGUCCAGUCAAACUUAGCCCAGUUUAGUGAUCAGUGUCAGUUUAGUUGGGAGUAGGAUUCAACACCAAGCGAACCCAGGUAUGGGGCUUUCCUGCUAGCAUAGGGUUUGACCCUUAGUAGCAAUCCCUGAGUUACAGAACUACGUAGCCAUCAUAGGUUUAAUAUGUCUUCUUGCCAGCUUAGGGUUAACACAUCUCUCAUGAAUUUCCUGCCAGUAUACGGUUACUCCUUAGUCCUGCGGGACACCAGUUGCGUGGAUCCACACAAAAUGUGUUAUUACCCAUGGCACGGUACUGACACCUUCCAACUAGGGUUACAUGGACCCUAAUUAGCUUAGAUUGGGGCAUGUCAGUGUAAAAUCCCACAAAAUCCUUAGCUUAAUUCAGUCCUUUAAGCUUGUUAAGGGGGUCCCAAACUUAGAAUAUUUUAGCUAAGUAUUCAGUCUUAGUGUCAUUCUAGCCUUCGAAAGUCGGCAAUUUUAUUUCAUGGCCUUUACUUUCAUUAUUGGUGGAUAUUUAGGUUGAUUCAUGAUCAGGAAUGUUCGUAGAUAUUUUUGGAUAAGUUUUGAAUUUUUCAGACUUUGUUUGAAGCUCCUUCAAAAUCCUAAAAUAGUGGAUCAACGCGAUCUUGGAACGCAGCGUCGACUAUCGCGUUGAUAAAUAUUUUUCCCAACUUCCAGUGUCAAUUUAUAGUGAGUCAAUGCAGACUCGACGUGACGUAUUGGCUAUCGCAUCGAUGUCAAUGACGUGGUGUGUCGCUCUGCGUGUCGAUGGUGCAGUUUUUAGUCAUUAAAAGACCUCAUCCUUGGGGAUAUUUGGGUCUUUUCCCCUCAACCUUCAGCCCCCAAAACACAAAAUUUAUCACCUUAGAGAGCAAAUAAACUCAUUUUUUCCUCAAAAUUGCUUAAGAACAAAACCCUAGAAGAUUCAAUUUCAAAUCAAGAACUCAAGAUUCCACCAUCAACUUUUAGAAAUUCCUUAACCAAGGUAUGUGAAGUGUUCAUCGAAGGGUCCCUUCCACCCUUGGAGUCCAAGAAAUCUUUUUAAACUUCAAGUAUGAUUGAUUUCAUGAUUUCCAUUUUGGGUUUGAUAAUAUCCAUGUUUAAAAUAUCUAAUUGGGUUUCAAAUUCACGUUUUAUGAUAAGUUUCAUAUGUGGUUAAUUGAUUUAUACGUGUUAUUAUGUGAAAUCAUGCUGAAGCCUUCAAAUUGUGAGUUUGGUAUUUGAAAUUAUGUGCUUACAUGUUGUUAGUACUAGGUGCAUAUUUUAUACCUUUCAAGUGAUUGAUGAAUUAAGCAUGUGAGUUGAAUAGUGAAGUUAAUCAUGUUAGAAUGUGUUCAAGUACAUGACAUGCAAGUGUUUGUUAAAAUGCCCCAAUGAAUGAAGAAUGACCAAAUGCUUAGUUUACAUGUUUCAAGUUUAUGCCAUGUCUCUUAUUUUAUGCUAUCAAGUCCUGGGGGUACUUGUACCCGACAAUUCAGCUGAUUAUUUAGAGCCAUGGUCAGUCAUAGAGCAGUAACAGUUACAUCACUAUCAGUAAUACUCUCAGAAAUUUACAGAACUCAGAAAAACUCAGUAGACUCAAUAUUCUUCCAGUCUAGUUCAGUACUCAGUCUAGACCUCAGUAAACUCAAUCAGUUAACAGAAUUCAGUAGUUUUCGUCUAUCCAUGAAACUCAGUAUACUUAGUCAGUUCAAUUAAAUAUUAAUAUUAGUAAGAGUUCAGUCCAGCCUAGUUCAUACUAGGAAACCAGUUUAAUGUCUAUUCAGUUGGGAGUAGGAUUCAACACCAAGUUAACCCAGGGAUGGGGGUAUUCCUGCCAGCAGAGGAUUUGAUCCUUAGUAGCAAUCCCUGAGUUACAAAACUAUGUAGCAAGCGUAGGUUGAGAUAUCUUCCUACUAGAUAUUAUGAGGGUUAAUACUUCUUACCUGAGUUAUCCUGCUAGCGAGGGUUGACGAAAGAGCUUCCUGUCAGAGAGGGUUAACUCAUAGCUUGUCCUUACCCAAGGCACGGUAUUGGCACCCUUCCAACUGGGGUUAUAAGUUGGAUCCCAAUCAGUUUAGAGAGGAACAUGUCGGUUAGAUGAUUACCUCCCGCAGUCUCAUUUUAGUCUCAGUCUCAGAAUAGAACUCAAUUUAGUUCUACAGAUUUAGGACUAUCAGAUAUAGUCACUCAGCUCAGUACGAAAGUCAGUAUAGUUCCACAGAAUCAAGACUGUCAGAUACAGUCAUUCAGUUAUCAGUAGUUUAGUAUCAGUAUUCCUAGAUAUCAGUUAAUUAGUUUUAGUAAUCAGACUCAAUAUUUAAUGUUAUCAUGAUCUCAGUUACAGUCUACGUAUUCAUGUAUGUACUCUUAUUUAGUCAUACUCAUGUUAUUCAGUUAGUAUUAUCCAUGCAUAUGAACCCAUCUAUUUCAGCCUACCUCAGUGAGCAUACCAGUACAUUAAAAGUACUGACGUAUAUUUUUUGUGCUAUGAUGUCUUAUACUUAGGUUCCAACACACGGGCUUCAGAGCACCCUUAGCAGUUCAGAUUCUCAGCUUUUAAAUUAGUGGUGAGUCCUCAUAGUUCGAGGACAUGCUUAUUAUUUAUAGUACUUCAGUUUUAUUUCAGCACUAGAGUAUGAUCAAAUAGUUGUCCAGUAUUCAGAUUUCAGUAGUUAUGUUCAGUUUUAAUACCGUAUUCAGAUUUAUUUACAUAAUGAACCUUAUGGCAAGUUCUGCCUAUUUUUGCAUAUUAUUCAGUAUUUAUUACAUAGUCAUUGCAGAAGGUACCAAUCAUGAGUUAGCUUGUGGUCCUUCAGGAUUAUGAGCACUGUAUAGCGUCCACGAUACAGACUCAGUGUGCUACAGUCAGUUAGAUGAUACCUCUCACAGUAUCAGUACAAUAUUUAGUAUCUCCUCAGUUCAAGUUUGCUUGACUAAGUGUAUAGACUUUCAGAUAUUUAAUUUAAUAGUUUUCAAUCUUUCAGAUUACAGAUUUCUCAGUACCAUAACAAAUAUACACUUACUCUUGCAUUCUCAGAUGUUACAAUUUUUAAGUAUUCAUGCUUAGUUAUUUUAUGUUUUUUUGUUAGUCCUUAUCUCAUAAGCAUAGUACUCCACAGUUUCAGCCCAGUUAUUCAGACUAAGUACAGUUUAGUCUUACAAGACCAGUAUUCAGCUAUCAGUUAUUUAUUUAAUCAGAUAAGUUUAGUAUAUGUCAUGUUUGGUUUUGUAUGUUUACGAAUUCAUCCUCAGUAUGAUUUUAUAUUCAGGUCUUCGAGUUAUGUCAGUCUCCAUCACGUAGUUUUAGACCUAGCGUUCAUGCAGUAUCCAUGUUUUACCAUAUCUCAGCUUCAGUUUAACUUAUUCUACAAAAAUAAAGAGUUUUAAGAAACUAAGUAUAGUGAUUCACGAUCUUAUCAGAUUUUGUUUGUUACUCAUGUUUCAAGAUAUUUUCAGUUUUCAGUUUAUUUUAGUCUCUUAGUGAGUUUACUUACACCUAGUCAUGCAUGUUUUAAGAUUACGCAUGAAACUAUUUUUACUUAUUGCAUUCACCCCUGUAUAUUCAGUAUAUUCUAGAAGUACUGAUCCACAUAUACGUCUAUGUGCUACAUUGUCUCAUAAUGUAGGUGCCAGUUACAACCUAUACGUCAUGAUCAAAUAGUUGUAGUUUCCAGUCAGCAGGUGAUGAGUUCUCCUAUUUUGGGGACUUCAUUCAAAUAUUUUUAUGUACUUUAUUUUUAUCAUUCUUAUGUAUUGAUUAGUGUUAGUUGGAGGCAUGUCCCAACUAUCUAUAGUCACUAUAGUAGAGGCUUCAUAGAUUUCAGUCAGAGUUAGUCAUGUAAAUUUAGUUUUCUCCUUAGUUUUUAUCAGAUUAUAAAGUGUAUGAUUAAUAUAAAUUUCUCUCAGAUUUUGUUUAUAUUUUUGCACUGCAGAACAACUAUUUAAUUUAUUAUAAUUCAGUUGCUUAACAGUAUGCCAGUUCAUGAGUUAACUUGGGAUCACUUGUGGUUCCAAGCACUGUGUCGCAUCUAGGUGCACUAAUACCCCGCAUUUUCAUGUCCUAAACCUCUUAUUUUUAUUCUUUACGAAACAAAUCCAGCUUGAAGUAAUAGUUACUCAUAAGUUGACUUUUUUUUUUCUAUCUCAGCUUUAUGACCAUUCUCAUGUCAUUGCAUGUAUUCAUGAAAUCAGUUCAGUUCUUGUAUUAUGCUCAGACUCAAUUAUACAAUCAUGUUCUAAGUCAUACAUUCAAAAUAUGAUCUUAAUUACCUUGGUACAGUACUCUCAGUCUAACCAGACUUAUUCGAUGAUGAAUGUUCCCAAGGGGGAGAUAAUGUAACACCCCGUAUUUUCGGACUAGUCUUUGUACCAUCGUUCUUAUGUGUAUAAGUUAUAAUCCAAAUGAUUCCCAUGUGAAUAUAAGUUUUAUGAUUUUUUUUCUCGUGUUUGAUGUAAUUUCGAGGUAAAAAAUGUACAUAGCCAUGACUUAGAACAAAGUUGAGCUAAGAUCAUUUGAUAUGUCCAAAAUUUGGUAUUCGAUUCUACAAGAGUCUACUUUAAAUUUAUAUAACUUUUGAUAUACCUGGAAUUUUUCAUGUAAAGACCCACCAAAUUGUAGAUAAUUCAAUCAGAUUUCCAAAGAUACCAAUUUCACCUAAAUUCGAUACUCGAGCAAAAAGUUACAGCCAUUUUUGUGUGAGACAGUAAGACGAGGCGAUAUGCCCAUGCCACUCGGGUUGCAGCGCCGCUCUAGAUGUGGCGCCGCGGGAUAUACUCCCCCGGGAUAAAGGGGGUGGCACCUUUUCCAUUCCUCAUCUAUUUUAAACUCCUUAAGGGUCAAGGGGCACUUUGGUCCUUUCCACUCAACCCCAAACGUCCAAUGGACGAUUUAUAACACCCCAAAGGGCAUUAUUUGUCCACUUAUCAUCAUCAAAACUCACGUAAACCUUCCCUUUUUCUUACAAUGAACAAAGUUCAACUUUUAUCUCAAGAGCAUAAGUAUUUAAGUUUAGAAUUCAAUAUUUCUUCAAGAAUCCAAGAGUUAAAGCUUCCUAGUCAAUAAACCUUCAAGAAUAAUCAAGAAUAGAGUUUUUUUCACAAGUUCAUCAUUCAAGUUCCACGAUUCAAGAUUUCUUCACAACUCAAAAAAAUUAAGGUAUGUGGGAUUUCAUCCAUGGAUCCUCUUUUACCCAUGGUGCCCAAACCCCAAAUUUCAAGUUUAAAGUCAUAAUAUUUACAUGUUCCCAUGAAUUUUACUUAUAAAUUUUCAUGAAUCUCAAACUUAUAUCAUAUUUCCAUGAAAUUGUUGGUGAUAUUAAACCUUAUAUGUUUGAAUAGUAUUGUUUUGCUAAAUUUAAACCCUAAUUGAUGAUUUUAGAGGCGAAAUGAUGCUAUUACUACUACUAUUUUUAACUAUUCCCAUGCUUAGCCUUAGGGAUGGAAAACAGGCGGAUUGGAUUGAAUUUGGACGGGUUAAAUAUGGAUCGAGCAAAAAUGGUUUGGAUUGCAAUCCGCCCAUAUAAAUAAGGGUAAAUAUGGAUUGGGUAAAAAUGGUUUCAACCCAUUUUAACUCCUAAGUCAAAAACUUAAAACUUCUAUAUCAUAUCAACUUUACUUUUGUUUCAUUUUUUUUUUAGUUUUUUUUGUCUCUCUUCUAUAUGUAGCCUCAAGUUUUUUCUUUUUUUCUUUUUUCAUUUUUUUGUCAUUUCAUUUUUUCUCUCUCUCUUCUAUCUCUACCCUCUGCCCUUUGUUUCUCUUUCUUUUUUCCUUUUUUUUUCCUUUUUCUUUUUAGUCUCCUUUUUUUCUAUUUUUUAUUUUUUUGUUUUUACAUCUUUCUCAUUUUUUUCUUUUUUGGUUGUAUUUUAUGUUUUAUAUUUUUUUUAUUUCCGAAGAACAUGGUUAAGUUGAGUACAAAUUAUGGAUGAUAACUAAAUUAUCGUAACCACUCAAUAUAUUUGUUUUCACCAUCAUCUUUUUUCUUUUUUCCUUUUCUCCUUUUUCAUAAAAAUAGCAUAAGCGUAUAUUGAUUUAUAUUCUCCCAACAUUUAUAAUUCGAGGGCUAUGUGGAUCCUCAGUCAUAUAUAUUUUAGUCUGAAGAAAAUACAAUUAAUUCAUAUACUAUUUUUUUGAUUUUUCGUCUGGUGUUCGGUGCCUACAUUGGAGCCCCAGCUAAUCUGGAUCGGGCGUUGUAGGGCCCAUUAAGGUGGCAGCGCUCCCAACAGAGUUUUCUCCAUAACCAUGGUCGUACCCUCGACCUCUGGUUAAGGGUGGAGCAGCCCCAUCCACUGCACCACAACCCAUAUUGAUUUUAAUUCAUAUACUUAUUUGUAUAUAAAUACAAAUGAUAAAUUGAACAUAUUGACAAUUAAACUAUUCAAAUACAAAAAAUAAAUUUAUUUGAAAUAUAUAGUAUGAUACAAAUAAAUUUAAAGUAAAAAAUUAUAAAGUGCAAUGACAAAAAAAGAUGAGAAAAAGAAUAUAAAAAAUAAGAAAAAUGACAAAAAUGACGAACCAAGAAUGAAAAAGGGGGAAACGGAAAUACAAAAAAAAAGAAUGCAAAGAAAUAAAAUUGAAAAAGAAAAAAAUAAUAAAAAAGAAGAAAGGGAAAAAAGGGUAAGAAAUGAGUAAAAAAUAAGUGGAAAAAAUGAAAAAUAAAAAAAAGUAAAUUAAAGGAAAAAAGAAAGAAAAAAAUAGUAAAUUAAAGGGAAAAAAAAGGAAAAGUAAAAAAAAUUAAAAAAAGAAAGAGAAAUAAAAGAUAAAAAAAAAUUAUAAUAAAGGAGUGAGACUAUGAAUUAUAUUUAAUUGAUAAGAGAUGUUAUGAAUUAUAUAGGUUAGAUGGGAUAAUUAUAAGCUUAUAUUUAUUAACCCAUGUUGGUCUCAAGCAAAUACGAAUGAUGAAAUAAGAAUGAGAAAGUGGAGAGUAAAAAAAAAGAAUACAAAGAAAAAAGAAAUAAAAAUAAAAAAAUAAAAAAAUAGAUGAAAAAAUGAGAAAGAAAAAAGAAAUUAUAAGGAAUGAGUAAAAAAAUAAAAAAAAAUGAAAAAGAAAAAAAGUAAAUUAAAGGAAAAAAGAAAGAAAAAAAGAGACUAGAAAAAAAAAAACUGAAACUUUAAGCAUAGGUGGGCGAUCUCUGUGUUUAAAUGGGUACCCACAUUUUACCCAUUUUGUCCAUAUUUGUAUGAGUUUUUAAAAUGAGUUGAAGUCCAUAUUUACCCAUUUGAAAUAUGAGUGAUCCAAUUCACUAAAUAUGGGUUAAAUGGAUUUUUUUUUUACAAAUAUGGACUGAAAUUGCCACCCCUACUUAGCCUAAACCAUGAAUUACAAGUGUUUGAUAAAAUGCCUACAAAAAUGAGUUUUGAACAAAGGCUUACAUAUCAUGUCCUUAGAGUUUUAUUUCAAUUUCAUUGUAGAAAAUAUAUUCACGAUUUUUAGCAAUAUUCCCAUAUUUUAAAUUCAUGCUUUCCACAUGUUUGAUGAAAUUCCCAUAUCAUGUUCAAUAAAUUUCAAGAUGAAUCCCCAAGUUAUAAAUUUUGUCUUGUAACUCUAUUGUUUACUCAUGUUAAGACAUUCUUAUGGCCAAGCUAAGAUCUUUACAUGUUUUGAAGAAACACCCAUGUCCUAUUUCAAGCGAAUUUCAUGUAAAUUCCCUAAUCUAUGAUUUUUAGUUGUGUCAUCAUGUUAUGCUCCCAUGUUUAAGAUAUUCCCAUGUUCAAGUUCUUGAUCCCCAUGUUUUUGAGGAAUUUCCCCAAGUUAAAGUAUUAAUCCCCAUGUGGUGAUGAAAUACUCAAGUGGCGGAUUUCUGUAAAUAAUGCUUUCUUAUUAUGGUUCCGAAACUUUAGUAUGUCCCUAUUGUUACUGCUAUCGUGUCCUGGGGGUUAUGAUACCCGAAAUUUAGCUGUUUACAUAGUUUUUAGUAGUUAUAGAAGGGUCCCCAUCGUAUCAUGAGCGGUAUUAUUCUAUCAGUUAACAUGGUUAGCACGAGUUCAGUCAAGCUUAGCCCAGUUUAGUGAUCAUUGUCCGUUUAGUUAGGAGUAGGAUUUAGCACCAAGCGAACCCAGGUAUGGGGCAUUCCUACCAGCAUAGGGUUUGACCCUUAGUAGCAAUCCCUGAGUUAUAGAAUUACGUAGCCAUCGUAUGAUUGAGAUGUCUUCCUGCCAGCUUAGGGUUAAUACAUCUAUCAUGAGUUUCCUGCCAGCAUAGGGUUACUCCUUAGUCUUUCAGGACACUAGUUUAGUGGAUCCACACAAUCGGUGUUAGUACUCGUAGCACGGUACUGAUACCCUUCCAAUUGGGGUUACAGGUUGGACCUCAAUUAGCUGAGAUUGGGGAAUGUUGGUUAGAUGAUACCUCCCACAGUAUCAGUACAGUAUUCAGUGUCUCCUUCAUUUAGGUUUGCUUGACUAAGUGUACAGACUUUCAGAUAUUUAGUUUAAGAGUUUUCAAUCUUUUAGAUUACAGAUUUUCUCAGUACCAUAAUAGAUAUACACUUAGUCUUGCAUUCUCAGAUGUUAUAGUUUUCACGCAUUCAUAUCAAUUAUUUCAUGUUGUUUUGGUAGUCCUUAACUCAUAAGCAUAGUACACCAUAGUUUCAGCCCAGUUAUUCGGACUCAGUACAAUUUAGUCUUACAAGACCUGUAUUUAGCUAUCAGUCAUUAAGUUAAUCAGAUAAGUUUAGUAUAUGUUGUGUUUGGUUUUGUAUGUUUAUGUAUUCGUGCUCAGUAUGAUUGUAUAUUCAGGUCUUCGAGUUAUGUUAGUCUCCAUUACGUAGUUUCAGACCCAGUGUUCAAACAGUAUCCAUGUUUUACCAUAUCCCAGCUUCAGUUCAACUUAUUCUACAAAAGUAAAGAAUUUUAAGAACCUAAGUGUAGUGAUUCACCAUUUUAUCAAAUUAUGUUUGUUGCUUAUGUUUUAAGAUGUUUUCAACUUUCAGUUUAUUUCAGUCUCUUGGUGAGUAUACUUAUACCUAAUCAUGUAUGUUUUAAGAUUAUGUAUAAAAUUAGUUUUACUUAUUGCAUUCACCCAUGCAUACUCAGUAUAUUUCAGAAGUAAUGAGCCAUAUAUACGUCUAUGUGCUACAUUGUCUCAUAAUGUAGGUAACAGUUACAUCCUACACAUCAUGAUCAGACAAUUGCCGUUUCCAGUCAGUAGGUGAUGAGUUCUCCUAUUUCGGGGACUCUAGUUAGAUAUUGUUAUGUACUUUAUGUUUAUCAUUCUUUUGUAUUGAUUAGUGGUAGUGGGAGCCAUGUCCCAACUAUCUAUAGUCAGUAUAGUAGAGGCUUCAUAGAUUUCAUUCAGAGUCAGUCAUGUAAUUUCAGUUUUCUCCUCAGUUUUUAUCAGAUUGUAAAGUGUAUCAGUAAUAUAAAUUUCUCUCAAAUUUUGUCAUGAUUAUAUUUUCACACUGCAAACAACUAUUUAUUUCAUUAUAAUUCAGUUUCUUAACAGUAUGCCAGUUCAUGGGUUAACUUCAACACAUAUUUUACAUUUAUCAAAAUUACUUGAGUCUAAACCAGAUAUUAAACCAAGUGAUUGCAUAUUGUUUAUAUAUUUAAUAAUAACAUGUCCUAAUCUAGCAUGCUAUAAAGAAAUAGACUCAAUCAUAUAAGUAGAAGAUGGUGAAUUUUCAUUUAUAAUAUUAAGUACAUCAAGUCCAUGGUUACAAUAGCCUUUUCCCACAAAUAUAUUAUUUUUUGUCAAAAUAAUCUUAUUAGAUUCAACAGACACUUUUAUUCCAGCUUUAUCCAGCAUCAGUAUUAUCAACGACCUUAGGUCCAAUAUUAUGUGCCAUAGUUUCUUAGAUUGUUGGGAAAAAAUAAUAAAAUAAUAAUAAUAUUAUUUAACUGUUAACAAAAUAUUAUAAUAAUAAUAUUAGCAAUACAAUAACAUAAUUGUGUUUAACAAUAUUACUGCUUUAGUGAUAAUACUGUAAUCAAUAUGACAACUAUGACAGUAAUCUAACUACUUCUUAACAUGUUAAUAAUAUAUUAAUUAUACUUGAGUCGUGUUAGGCACUGUCCUAAGAAACUAUUUCAGCAGUGUGAAAUGUUUCCCCAGGAUUAAACAAGCACUUCCCUGAUCAAUUAGAGGAUAUUCUAAGUUAAAUAAAUCUUUCUUAACUAAUCAGAGGAUACAUAAAUCAACAAAAUUAUUAAUACAAAUAUCAGCAAGUUAAAUCAUAGGUUGAAAUAAUAACCAAAAUCACUAAGUAGGAUUCUAAGAAGAAAGAGAAAACUAAAGAGGAAGUUUAGAAUGUUAAGGAUUUCUGUAAGGAUUAAGGGAGUAUUUAUAGGUAAGACUUAGCUUCUAAAGUACACCUCUCGAUGGCUUCCAAAGUAAGUCUUCUCAAGUAUAUCUCUUAUUGGCUUCCAAAGUAAGACUUCUCAAGUAUAUCUCCAGAUAGCUUCCAAAGUAAGCCUUCUCAAGUAUAUCUUUUAAUGGCUUCCAAAGUAACCCUUUAAGUGGCUUCUAAAAUACAUUUAAAAACAUGACUUUUUCCAAUACACUUCAAUGUAAAUUAUUUUGAAAUAACUAAAUAAUUUUUCUACAAUAAAUUCAAGAGAUACACGAAGCAAUGAAAAGGAAAAUCAAAGUGCCCAAUAAUUUCAGAAGAGAGUCAAAGUUAAUAGCCAUCCAACAUAAUUUGUGGGGAAUUAAAUGCAUACCUUAUAGUAUAAGGAGGGCCUUAAGGAAUAUUCCUAGUAAAUUCCUCUAGUGAUUGAUGCAUUAUUGAAUUUAAGCCAACUGUAUUAAGACUAGCUACUUACUUAGCUACAAGUUUUAUAGCCUGACCAAAUUUAUUUUUCUCUAGUAGUGCUUAUCUUGUUUGAAAAGUACUUAUUUUAAAUAGUUGAGGUGUUUGGUCAACCUUAUAGAAGAAAAAAAUUCUUUUAAAAAGUUAAAAAAAAUAAUUUUCCAUAACCUAAAACAGUAGCUUUUUCUAAAAACACUUUUUAGAAAAAUGCAUUGCUUCAUAAGGAAGAAUGAAGUGCUACCGGAGAUUCUUGCUUUGACAAUGGGUCUAGGCAAAAACAAGGUACUUCUAAAUUAACAAUAUAGUUCUUCAAGGGAUUCACAAAUAAGAAACUAUCAUCCUCAUUUUCUUUUUUAUAAAGGCAAAACAACAACAAGAUUAUUAUUAUUUAAAAAAUGGAGAUGCUGUGCUAGAGGAGCUUCUUGUAUUAUGCAAUAAAAAUUGUCGAAUUCCCAUCCAUUACUUCAUUUCCAUAGAGAUAGAAAGGGAAAUCAAGCACUCUGAAAAUAAAAUAGAACUCGACAAAGGCUAUAUGUGAAGAAAUUGGGGUAGGUUGCUCCUCGACUCAGGAAACUGUUCCCAAAAUCACACAUGCAACAAGAACUAGGAGAUAAGCAAAUUAACAAGUAGCAGAGUGAAGAAACUUAAAGACACAGGAUUUAUUACGUGGAAACUCCUUGCUCAGGGGAGAAAAGCCAUGACCUGCCUCCAGGAUUUAAACUCCACUAGAUUCAAGCAACCUCUUGAAUACAGACUCUAAGGAUUAACCUUCUAAUCCUUUGUUUCCUAGCAAUAACACUAUUACAAGAAAAUCUACACAAUAACUCUACUGCCUGCACCUUCAGCUAACUCUAACUUGACUUUACAAGCUAAAUUAAAAUGCCCCAAAAUUUAUCCCUCGAAAUUUCCUCGAGCGUUGAGCUCACUAUCUAAUUGAUGACUCACCAAAUAAGUCGUAUGGUGUAGUUACGGAUCUAGGGAUCCAAGUCGUAACCAAACUAAUGUGUUAGUUGCAAAGUUUUAUUUGGGUUAUGAGAGACUCCUCACGAGUUAUAUGAUCAUGUUACGAGUGGUUAGGGUCCAGUCGUAUGUUGUUCAAUGUCCAAGCCCUUGGUGUUAAGUAUUGAUCAUGACUAGACCAUACGAUUCAUAUAGUCUAGUGACAAGUGGGACUAGGAUGUCAUAAGUUGGAUAGUAUGUAGUGUCCAAUUCUCUGUCUUGGUGAUGACUCUACGAUAAGAGUGGUAUGUUGUGGUGACGAGUUGAAGGCUUCACUCAUAAUCCAAGGACAAAAUUCUACAACUUUAAGCUGGGGGUACUUUGGACAUUUUUCACUCCAAUCCCUUGAGACCCCACAUUAUUAUAACACUUUUGGGGCAUUCAUUAUAUACUUUACAAGAUCAAACAUUCUCUAAAUUCUCUCUAAAACCUCUCAAUCAAGAUUGGGCUAGGUUUUUUCUUAAAAGUGAUCAUCUAAGGGACUUAGGAUCAAAUUUUCUUCAUGAAUCUUUAUAACUCAGGCAUGUAACUCUUUAUUCAUUGUUAGUUCACUAAAAAUCAUAUGUUGAAACAUUAUUCAUGAGUCAUUAAUGGUGGUUUCAAAAAUCAAGGUUGAGGGUUUGAAUGAAUGUUGUUGGGUAUUGCUCCUCAUCAUUCAAUUUAUAAUUAUGCAUGUUUUAAUAAUGUUAUUGCACAUCUGGGUGCAUGGUAAUUGUGGUUUAACUAAGGGCUCAUGUUUAACCCUAAAUUUGUUAGUUUUUGGUUUUGAUAAUGGUAUACCCUCAACCUGUUUGUGAAAUUGUCAAUGAGAAUGAUAUUGCCACAUGUUGAAUUGUGUUUGAACUAAGGCAUUGGCCUAAGAUUAUUAAUGAUUGGUCAAUGGUUUUAUGAAGGCUUUGUUGGCCAUAAUUUAUUUGAAAUGCUAAAUGGGUUUGAGUCCCUAAAAGUUGAAAUGAAUUGACGUCUUUUAGAUAAUGGGUUUGAGUCCCAAGAUGAUUAAUAAUGGUAAUGGAAUGUUGUGCGCUUGCAAGUGGGGUUGGUAUGACGAUUCCAACGAGAUGUCUUUGGUAAAUAAAUCAAUUAAUAAUUGUGUAUGUGUGAUGAAUAUUUUAAUUGUGUGAUGAAUAUUUUAAUUGGCUUUUAAAGUGGGAUGUGUAGUCGGGCCCUGAAAGUGUAGUAAAAAGGAAUAACACUGGAAACUACAUGGCAUAACCCGAGCUGAGGCCCUAGCCACGAUGGGUAUCCCAAACCACAACGACUGUAAUACCCUAAAUUUUCUUCCUAGCUAAUUUCGUCCCAAGAAUUCCUAGAAUUAGAUUCUAAAGUGAAUGAUGAUUAUUCCAUGAGUAAUUUUCAAGAUUUUCACCUUUUAUUAUAUGGAAAAUUCAAUAAGCUUUCCAUCGAUACAAAAUUUGCCCAAAUCCGACACCCGGGCAAAGAGUUAGAGCCUUUUUAAUGAGACAGUAUAUCAUCUGAGCCUCCAGCACGUCGCGGAGAUAGCUCAAGUGGCAAUUGUCAAUUUUCAGUGUUGCUCCGUGAUAGUGGCGCAUCGCGCCAAACUUUUAAGUCGUAGACAAGGUGGUAGCGUGAUAGCUUCGCGUCGCGCCACCGUGCAAUUUCCCUUUUAUCUCUUUCCAGUGACUUAGCGCGAUAGUGGUGCAUCGCACCAAGGAUGAAAAUUUGGACAAUUUUCUUAAAAAUUAAAGACGUGUCCUAGGGUUAAAAGGGUCAAUUUUCCCACUCUAUAUAAGCCUUAUAAUAUGAGAUUUGACCAUAAUUCAACAACUUAUACUCAAUUACUCUCAGAAACUCUCAAGAACAAACCCUAGGGUUUUUAUAGAAGGUUCAAUUCCAAGGGAAUUCACUGUCAAAUUUCAAGAAUCUCUCCAUCAAUCUUCAUGAAAUCACAAACUAAGAUAUGUGUAGUGUUUAUCCACGGAUCCCUUUCAUUCGUGGAGUCCAAGAAUCAUGUUUUAAAUAACCUAUCGUGAUUUGCUUGUUGUAAUUUUAUCAUGUUCAUGUUGAUAGUUGUUAUUUAUGUUUCAAGAUGAUGUCUUGAUGACUUUCCAUGAAGUAUGUGAGUUUGUUGAUUGAAAACCUAUGAGUUUGGGUAGUCUUAGAUUCUUAAAUUGAUAAUUUCGCCAUGCUAUAAAGUGUGCAUGUAAGGUGUUUGAUAAAAUGCCUAUAAUAAUAGAAUCAUGUUCCUUAUGACUCAAUAGUAUCUAAAUGACAAGUCCAUGCUAACCCUUAUGAUGCAACACAAUUUCCAUGCUCUUGUUGUGUAUUGACUGUUGUGUUAUGCAACGUUUAUGAUAUUUAAAUCAUGCAAGUAAGUACAUGUUAUAUGCAUUCCCUUCCAUGAUAAAGACUAUGAUAACCAUGUGAAGCAUGAAAUCGCUUAUUUAUGGCAUUAUAAAUUAUUAACGCUAUUCCUAUGAUCAAGAAGUAUUAUGGAUUAUUGAUGUUAGUCAUGUAUUCAAGAAUGUCAUGCCUUGUUAGUUUUCUUCUAUAGAGUCCUGGGGGUACUCGUACCCAAAAAAUAUGUCAUGUUUUCAUGAUACUCUUAGUCAAGCCAUGUUCCAUAGAAGUCAGUCAGUCAUGUGACUCAGGAAAUCCUAGAAAUCUCAUGAACUCAGUACUCAGUAAAAUCAGUAUUCUUAUGAACUCAGUACUCAGUAAGAUCAAUAAUCUCAUAAACUCAGUCAGUUAUCAGAUAUCAAUAGUAUUUUGCCAGUCAACGGAAUUAAGUAAACUCAGUCCAUGUACAGUCAGUCAAUUGUGUUCAGUCUCUUCAGAUGGGAGUAGAAAUUAGCACCGAGUGAAUCCAAGGAUGGGAACACACACUCUCAGAUGAGGGUGUGAUUCUUAGUAGUCAUCGUUAUGUUCCAAAACUAUGUAGCCAGCAUAGAUUGAUACAUCAACACUGUCAGAUGAGGGUUGAUGAGGUAGAUAAGCACUGUCAGAUGAGGUCCCUACUAUUCUCUUUUGGGGACACUGUCAUAUGAGUUACUAGUGGUACGGUAUUGACACCCUUCCUGUCAGGGCAUAGAUUAGACCCCAGCUUAGCUAUUAUAGCGUAUUUGGGGCAUAUCAGUUAAAUAACUAUUCCCAUAGUUUCAGUAUCAGUCUUAAUAAAAGAACUCAGAUAGUUUUUCAAAUUUCAAGAAUGUCAGAUAUAGUCAACUCAAUCACAGUACAAAACUCAGAUAGUUUCCAUCAGAUUUAGGACUGUCAGACAAAGUCACUCAUGUUGUUAGUUAUAUCAGUUAUUAGAACUCCAGUAUCAGUCAUGCUAGGUAUCAGUAAAUUUAUGUCAUCAGUAUAUACAUUUAGUUGUCAUGUUCUCAUGAUCUCAGUUACUAUGUAAUAAUGUGUGCACCCUCACGUUCAUAUUAUUUAGUUAGUUUUUAUCAUUCAUGCAUGUAAACCCUAUGUAUUCAGCCUACCUCACACGUAUACUGAGUAUAUUCUUUUAUACUAAUGCAUUUGUGCUAUGGUGUUUUCUUUUUAUGUUACACCAUAGGUUUAGAGAUACGAGUUCCAGAUUAGUAGUAGAUUCCAGUCUCAACAGUCAGAAUAGUAGUGAGUUUUCAUCCUUCGAGGACAUGGUUAUUUCUUCAUUAUUUCAUUGAUUAGUUAUUAGUUGUAGUUAGUUGGGGACAUAUCCCAUCAAAUCUUGAUUUAGAUUAUUCAGACAGUAGAGGCUUUCUGACUAGAUGCAGACUAUUGUGUCAGUGUUUAUAGUUUUGUUUUGGGUAUUCUAUUACCCCACCCAGAUGUUCUAUCAUUUAGAUUAUGUUUAGUAUUGAACCUUAUGGCCUUUCAGUGGAUGUUUCCGCAUUAUUAUAUCAUAUUAUAUAGUGUACAGGUACAAAUAUCAGUCAUGGGUUAGCUUGUGGUCUUUCAGGUUCAUGAGCACCGUGUGACAUUCUGGUUCAGCAAAUCAGGGUGUUUUAAUGGCCUGAGAGACCCCUCUAAAUCCCUAAACCACUAGUGAUAUUGUUCGCUUUGGGCCCAAGCCUGUACAACUUUAAAAUGCGUCACUAGGUAUUAAGACUUUCUUACUUAUGCACCCAACAUCUCUUCUAUAUUUUGCUGAUGUAGGACUCCUUCCUAAGUUGGGGUGUUACACUGUGCUAGCCGGUGCAGGUGUCUAUAUGACUAGGAGGUUGGAUUUACCAAUAUAAAUAUAUUAAUGGGAGGUUCGAGUCCCCCAUAUUGUAUACAUUGGUGCUUAAGUAACCAUGAUUAUGUCAGGAGGUUUGAAUCUCCCCAUAAAGAAAUUUACAAAUAUGGAUAAUCUCUAGUUCGUGCGGCUGCAUGCAUUAUGGCCCUUCCAGCUAAAGAAGAGUUGGGCCCAUAUAUCCCGUGGGUGUUUUUUUUAGACAGUUAAGCUACAUAGCCCAGGUUAAGGUUUUCACAAUUCAUGCUAAAACUUGUUCCCUACCCUAGUAUGUGGUAUUAUGCAAACGUAUCUAUAUUUCAUACAAUAUUAUACAUUGAACGUGGUACUGUGAUCAUGACAUUAUUUUAUUCCUCUAUUCCUAAGUUACAUUCUAGCGCUCCAAUCGUUAAUUGUCUCUAGAUGCUGUAUCCCCACGCGAUGCAGGCACUGGGACUUUUUCUAUUUUUCCUACACAGUGACCAGGUGUUCGAGUUAGUUUGUGAGUUGAUAUUGAAGUGGUGAGAUUCUAUACUUCGAAAGGCUUUAUUUAAUGGUCCUUAUUUCCUAUGUCUUAGACCUUGUUUAGACUUUAUUUUUCUACUGUCGGAGGCAUGUCUUGAUAUUUUAUUGAUUUUGAUUUUGUAGAGGCUAUGUUGGAUUACUUUGGACUUGGGUUGUUUAGUUGAUUAUUUUGGUGAUAGAUGGUUGUCCGGUUACCGAUGUUUGGUAUAGACAUAUUAUGAACUAUCAUUAGUUUUGUUGUGUGCUAUCUUGUUAUAUGUUUGAAAUUAUCCAAUCCUUGAGGUUUGUGUUGGUACAAUUAGGUAAAGGGGGUGGUCUCAAUCCUAUGUGGGGCUUGAGAUACCCAUCACGGCCAGACCCUGGUUUGGGUUAUGACAAAGGUGGUAUCAGAGGCUAAGUUCAUGGUCAAUUGGGUGUCCACAAAAUCGUGUCAAGUAGAGUCUCUUUUAUGGGCGUCUAGCGUACCAUACUUAUAAGAGAGAGGCUACGAUACAUUUAGCAAUACUUUCCUUUGUUGUUAUUCUAUUUUAAGCUGUAGAGUCUAAGGUUUUGAGUCUCUCUAAUCCCUCUUUGUUUGAUUUUCAGAUCUUUUCUUCUCAAUGAUCUGAAGCUUAUGGAAACUCCCUAUUUUGCUCGAGGACAAUGAUGAUGGGACACACCCUACUUAUAUGGUACAAACUCGGUCUAGGGGUCCAGUUCUUAAUUGCCCUUUUGGGUUCCACCAGUUAUCUCUAGCCCUAUUUGAGUUCCUUAAGCUGAUGAAAAGAACACUGAGUUUUGUCAAUCUAUUCAUAUGUUGGCUCGGUUGGUAGCUUCUUAGUAUGAGUGUAGUACUCCAUCUUUUAAGGCCACAAGGGUUGGCCAAUUUAUGAGGUUGAGUCUUCUAAAUUUUACUGGUGUUGAGUUUGAGGAGUGUCCUCAAGCUUUUAUUAAUGAGAUGGAGAAGAUCCUCUGGAUUAUACAUGAUUCAGAUAUUAAAGGUGUAGAGUUUGCUUCCUAUCAACUGAAGGAUAUAGAAAACCAAUGGUAUGAGGAGUAGGAGCACUCUAGGGGAGAUGAUGCUGACUUUGAUCCGUGGGAUGAUUUCUUUAGUGUAUUUUUGGGCUGCUUGUUUUAUCAGGAGUUGAGGGAGGCAAAAGUAGAGGAAUUUGUGAAUUUGUGGUAAUGUAGGAUGUCAUUCAAGAAGUCUACCUUGAAAUUCCAUUAGUUGUCCUGGUAUGAUCCUGAGUUGGUGUGUAGCAUGAGAGCUAGAAUGUGUAAGUUUGCUUUUUGGUUGUCUCAUAAUUUGAUUCUGGAGAGUAAAGCUGCCUUGUUAAACAAGGAUAUAGAUAUUUCUUGAUUUGUGGUGUAUAUGUAGUAGGUUGACAAAUAAAAGAAGAAACAAACUGAGAUUGGUAAGACGUGAAGUAAGAAAUUUAGAUUUUUUGAUCAGGGUGGAGGCCAGCAAUAGAGUGGUGGAGAUGGAGGAAAAUGGCCUAAAAAGAAGUGGGGGAUCUCUACGGUUAGUACUCUUUACCCGAAGCCAUCUGGUGGUUGUUUUUCUUAGCAUGAUGUAGGGUACAGGUUAUAAGAUACCCAAUCUUAGGCUAGUGUAUCUCAUUCCACUCUAUCGUAUCUUUCUUACAGAUUUUAUGGUCAGCUAUACCGUAUCCAAUGUAAGAAAAAGAGAAAACACUGUUUUAAUUGUGGUCAGAUUGUCCAUAUACAACAUGAUUUUCCUUCUAGGUUUUCUUUUGGGGCCAAUCAGGUUCUUAUUUCCUAUUUAUCAGCUCUUGCACCAAAAGGUGCUGCUUCUGCUUCUGGUAUCGGCACAGGCCGAAAUUACUUAUAUGCUCUUGCUUCUCGUCAAUACUCUAAGGUAGAUCCCAAUGUCGCUACUGGUAUAUUGAAACUGUUUUCCCGUUAUGUGUACUAUUUACUCUAUCCAGGGUUCACUCUCUCUUAUGUGAUCCCAUUUGUAGAUGUGCAUUUUUGAUUUUGGUCCUAAGUACAUUUUUGAUCCUUUUUCUAUGUCUACCCCAGUGGGUAACUCUGUGGUUGUCAAAAGAGUCUAUAGGGAUUGUGUGGUAUCUGUUGGUAAUAAAGAGACUCUGCUAGACUUGAUAGAGUUAGACAUAGUUAACUUUGAUGUUAUUUUGGGAAUGGACUGGUUGCAUUCAUGAUAUGCUUCUUUAUACUGUCGGACCCAUAAGGUUAUUUUUAAAUUUCUAAUGGUCAAUUAUUGAGUAGGAGGGUGGUUUCCUAGCUCCUAAGGGGAGGUUUAGUUCAUAUCUUAGAUUUCAAAAAUUAAUUUCCAAGAGGUGUCUCUAUCAUUUGGUCUAGGUUAAAGAUUCUAACUCGGAAGGUCCUUCAUUGAGAUCCGUUCCAGUGGUUAGUGAAUUUCUAGAGGUUUUUCCUGAUGAUCUUCCUGGUGUCCCUUAUGAUAGGCAGGUUCAUUUUGGUAUUGAUUUUGUUUUGAAUUCUUGUCCUAUCUCUAUUCCCCAAUAUAGGAUGGCUCUAAUUGAGUUAAAAGAACUCAAGGAGCAGUUAAAAGACCUCUUAGACAGGGGCUUCAUUCAUCCUAGUGUGUCCCCAUGGGGUUUACCUGUCUUGUUCACAUGUAAAAAGGAUAGUUUCUUUUGUAUGUACAUUCAUAACUGAUAGUUGAACAAGGUGACGGUAAAGAACAAGUAUCCACUUCCAAGAAUUGAUGAUCUCUUUGAUCAUCUUCAGGGUACCAAAUUCUUCGCUAAGAUCAAUCUUCGGUUCGGCUAUCAUCAGUUAAAGAUUAGGAAAGUGGAUAUCUCUAAGAAGACUUUUUGUACCUGGUAUGGGCAUUUUGAGUUCGGUCUUAUCUUUUGGUUUGGCUAAUGCCUUGGCGGCAUUUAUGGACUUGUUGAAUAGGGUCUUCUUCCAGUUUUUUGAUUUGUUCAUGACUAUCUUUAUUGAUGACAUUUUUGUAUACUUUAAGAGUAAGUAGGAUCAUGUCGAUCACCUCUGCAUUGUAUUGCAUAAGAAAGAUUAACAAUUAGAUGGUAAGUUUUUAAAGAGCGAAUUUUGGUUGAACGCUUUUAUAUUUCUGGGUCAUGUUGUGUCUAGUGAGGGGAUCAUGGUGGAUCCUCAGAAGGUUGCAGUGGUUAAGAAGUGGCCUAGACCCACGACUCCAAUCAAUAUUCAAAGCUUCUUGGGUUUAGCCAGUUAUUAGAGCCGUGUGAGAUGAAAGUCUCAUGCACGGUUUUGAAUGAGAGAAAGAAGAUUCCUCACUUCUUUUCGACUCUGACUCCCCCACUCCAGUCGUUGCUUUUCUUUCUGUUACUUCGAAAGUAGCUGCUUCAGCUUCAGCCACUCGAAUUUUCGAUAUUCCUUUUUAUUUCUCAUCAAACGAAUGGCAUAGGAGAUUUGUGGAAAGUUUCUCUUCUAUUGCUGCCACAUUGACUAAGUUGACUCAGAAGAAGGCAAAGUUCUGAUGGUUUGAUGCUUGCGAGGGUAUUUUGGAGAAGAUGAAAGAUAAGUAGACUUUAGCUCCAGUCUUUACUCUGCUUGAAGGCACGGAGGGUUUUACCAUCUAUUGUGAUGCGUCUCGGGUUGAUUUGGUUGUUUUUGGAUGCAUCAUUACAAGGUUGUUUCUUAUGCCUUUAGAUAAUUGAAGCUUUAUGAGAAAAACUAUCUGACUUAUGACUUAGAGUUGUUGGCCAUGGUGUUUGUGUUGAAAAUUUGGCAUCACUAUCUAUAUAGGGUCAACGUUGAUAUAUUCUCUGAUCAUAAGAGUCUGUAAUAUGUGUUCAUGUAGAAAGAGCUUAAUCUCAGGAGAAGGGAGGUGGCUUGAGUUACUAAAGGACUAUGAUGUGAGUCUUCACUACCACCUAAGUAAAGCUAAUGUGGUUGCUGAUGCUCUUAGCAGGUUGUCCAUGGGUAGCUUAUCGCAUGUGGAUAAGGAUAAGCAGAAAUUGGAGAAGGAUAUUCACUGUUUGGCUAAUCCUUGUAGUAGAAAUAAUAGCACAAAACAAACUUUUAAUGCAAACUUAGAUUAGCAAAAAAACCAUUCAAGUAUAGUGACAGUAAAACAACUAAUACAUAUGCCAAAGUCAUCACAGGAGAAACAACAAUAGGAGCUAAGGGAGAAGGAGUGAGGAUCAAAGAAAAAACAUUCUGGGAAGAAACUUUUGAACAUUGACUAAGAAACAUUGUCAUCCUUUUACUUGCUUCUGCAUGUGCUUUAAUGAUCUGUUGAGUCAGAUCCUUAUUUUUGAUAGUUAAAGUCUCAACCUUCUCUUCAAGAUUCUUCACCCUUUUUUGUAGGGAAAACAUUUUUAGAACAUAACUUUUCUUAUGAUUCCGUGGUUGCUUCUCUUCCCUUUGCAGAUGAUGCCUUAAGGGCAUCAAUUUCAACAUCCUUGAGGGAAAUUAGAGCAGUCAUUGACUCUAGUACAUCCUUUAACCUCUUUUGUGUUUCCACCAAUUCGGAUACAAGAGACUUAGACUUGCCACUACCUCUUUAGAGGACACACUUAUUGUCUUCCAGAGUGGAUAAGUUAAACGCUUGCUUGAUUAACCGAUCAUUCCUUGCCCACACCACAUUAAAGUGAUUAAAGAUCCUAUUGAUUCAGAACCCAUAAGCCAAUCUAUGUUUCCCAUCCUUUGCAGUCAUCAUUGUAUGCAUGUGCUCAAUUAUAAGUGCAGGAAGAUAAAUUCUUUUAAAGUUGGACAACAUUUCUAUGAGAUAUAAGUCUGGGCCUGUUACAACAUUUCUUUUCUCGGAUUAGGGAAGAAGACACUUAUUCACCAACUCAAAAAGAAGUUGAUAUUUACCCUUCAGUGCCUUCUUGGUUAUAUUCUUUAUAUUCAUGUCAUCCAAAUUACUGUAGAGUGUCAAGAACUUGGUGGAUCCCACUUCCUUUCUUACUGACUCUAUCCCCUUAGUAGGGACUCCCAAAAUUUUAGACAAUACUUUUUCAUCAAAUACAGUAUUCAUUCUAUUUACCUAAGAGGUUAGGUACAGGCAAUUUUCUGAGAAAUUCAAAUAGUGAGAAAAUUGAUCUACUUCCUGUUCAUAAAGAGGAGGAACCGGUCCCUGAAAUAAGUGCUCCCAUCCUUAAAAUCUAUCUCACUCAAGUAGCUCUCUCAUUCCUGGAAACUCAGCAAUAGCAGGAUCAAACACUCUGCAUCUCAACAUUUCCUGAGUCCUAAGAAUUUCUUGCCUUGCUUUCUUUGACAGACCUUUUCCCUUCCCAGUAGAAGAGGAGACCUUUUAAAGGAAACUCCUUCCCUUAGUAGAUGGUCUAGAACCUCCUAUGUUUUUUGCAACUUUGGGACUACUAUCGGACUCUUUGUUGUCAGCAGAUUAUUCCCUUUUUCUUUUCUUAGUCAACCUAGACACAAAUUCUUUUACUUGUAAUUUUUUCCCCUUUCUUGGAGAAAUAGUUUCCUUUAUUUUUCCAGGAGAUGUUGCCUUAUUCCCUAUUUUGGAAGACAAGACUUUCUUUCCCUUUUCUUUACCUCAUGAGGCUUCCACACUUCUCUCUAUAUCUAGUUAAUAAAGUCUAUGUUGAAGAUACUUUCAUAAUCAUCAUUAGAAAGACUUGGAAAAAUAUCAUUAAUACUGUCAAAAUCACUGUUCUUGCUAUCACCAUCCUCUGUAUUUUCAUCAGACUCAUCAACAACCACUGGUUCAGCAAUAGAUAUUCCUUUUCCUUUUUUCAUCUUCUCCUUUUGGUACCAUUCUUGCUUUUUACUAAGUCUUCUUUUAGAGAAUAUUUGGAACUCACUCUAUACCCUGUUGCCCUGCCCCUUCCAGAAGAGGAAGCUCCUUUCCUAGACAAUUUCCACCCUAAUGGCUUAUUGUCAUCACUGUCUGGUUCACUCUGUACAAUCUUAUUUCUACUUGAAAAAUCAAGUACAGAGGGAAGGGUCUCAAUUUCAUUAUCAUCGCUAGAGGUAGAGACAUUUGGUCUAUUUGUAAGAAGAGUUGUAGGAUGAGUUUCCCAUCUAGGUGGUUCUGUGCUCAAGGCUGUAAGACCCUGUACACCAAUUUCUUUACUCAUAGCUUUAAUAUUAGAGGGCACCUCUCUAGAAGUUGGCAGAUCAUUAAACAAGGUUUUGUCCAAAGAGGAACUACCAUAUUUACUUGAAGAAACAAACUUAUCUGAUGAGAGGGUUUAGGUUUUUGAGGAGGAAUCAAAAUCCUGACUAAAAGGAACUAUUUGAUCAGCGAUUGAUUCCUCAAACUUAAUGUUUUGUGGGAAGAGUGUUCAAAAGAUACCUUUAAGAAGUUGAACCUUUGAUUCUUCCUUACUAGGGACAUUAUUUUCAUAGGACUCUAUUCUAGAUUUUAUAAGGUUAUCAGUAACAUUUUUUCCUUUUUGCAGAGAAGCAUCAAGGGUUUCAUCUCUCUUGGAAUUAAAAUCCUUAGCAAUUUUGUGUAGAGAGAAAGGGGAAAAUAUAGUAAUAUAAAACCCUUCCUCCAACCCAAAAGGAAUAGUGGGAGUGUCUAUUAUAUUUAAGGGAGCGGGUUCAAUUAUUUUGAAGGGUCAAAAGGAAUUUGACAUUGGAGAGAUUGAGAGGUUUUGGAUAGGACUAUUUGAUAUUAGAUUUAAUAUUGUUAGGGAACUGAUGAGGCUUUUGAGAAAAAGAAGAUGUGUUUUACACAAUGAAGGUGAAAGAUUCUAACAAAUAACUUUAAAUAGGACAAAAGGAAUGGUGCAGAUUUUAUGAGGGGAUAUGUCUGAAGAGACAUGUCUGGAUUGAUGGGAGCGUCUCUUAGAUUUAAUAAACAUGGCAACUCUUAAGAAAAGGGCAAGAUAGUGACGUGGCACAUAUUAUUUGUGUUAAACAGUCACUAUGUAAGAAUAGUACGUGAUGCUGACAUGAUUUGGGACCUGGCCCCUAAUCUAUUUCUGAAAUAUUAUUCUAUGCUAUCUUACCUUCUCCUUCUUUUACUCUUUUUUUUGCUCUGGGUGUACAUCUAUGAAAAAUAUGAAGGUGAAUUAGACAUGUAUGCCAAUGUCCACCCGGGAUACCUACGUACCAUUUCACAGUUACCAAGGAGAGUCUGUUAAAGCAGCCACCAUUUAUCUUAAUCUCCUAGGCCUUAUUUUCUAAGUCCUUCCUCAACCAGUUCCCUACAAACAUUCUUGAGGAACAGAAGUGUAUACUGAAGAGACUUUGCCUCCUUCUAGGGUCUGAUGCAAGAGGUACUCUUUCAAUCUUUCCCUUUAAUGUUUUAGGCAACCAUCUUUAAUAACUCCUGCAUUGACUGCUCACCUUGCGUUGACCUACAUCACAAAUCUUUCAUUAGUCUUGGGAACCCAUUUCAGUCCGAUUUCCCAAUAGGAGGAUAGAGGAUAGAUUUUUUUCUUCUUAUUCCAACUUGGUAAUUUCCCUUUCUACCUUUUUGGAGUGAUAAGUUUACCCAUUUAUCUCUGAUGCUCAGCCUUUCCACCUUGUGAGUUUAAGUGAUUAUACUUGACCUUUGUCUACUUAACAACAUAGUUAGAACCUUCAUCUUGAUGGUAAAACUCUAAACCACUCCCACUGUUUGCAUCCUGACUGGUUAAGAUAAUAAGAUCUUAUGGCAAAGAAGUCCAUGUGAGUGCCUUUGCAAGCUUAGUUUUUACCUUAGCCAGUUCUCUUAGAGUACCUUUCAGGAGAAGCAACUUAAUUUGCUUCAAUUUCAGCUAAUUCCAACCAAAUUAGCUUCAAUUUCAGCUAAUUCUUCUUCCAGCUGUAAAAGUAUACUACUUCCCUUUGCAUUUCCUUGGGACACUAAAUUGGUGAUUUAUCUUAAUUGUUUUCUCAGGAGAUCAUUUUUACAUGAGUGAAUCUUGCAAGUUGCUCGAUGCUUAGCUACUUGCUCACUUAAUUCAACCAAUUCUUCUUCGCACAUGCUUAGAUCAUCCUUUAAUUUUCUUUUUUUACUUGUGAGGUUUGUCACUUGGAUAAUCAACUCAAUAAAUUCUUAUUCAUACUUCUAAAGGGUUUCCUUUAAAUUCUUUUUGUCAUCAACCAUUUCAUUUAAGGAGUCAAUUAGUGUAGAGGCAAAAGAUCUCAGUUUGUUGAGGGACUAAUUCUUCAAAUUCACUUUUAUAUCAAGGAGAGUCGUAGGUUUACUUUUAUUUCCAUCUGAGUCUACCAUCAAGGCAAGAAGUGAAUUAGAGAGUUGCACCUUUUCUUCUAUUGCCAUGAUGGGAAUGUCUUCUCGUUGCUCAUACUCAAUUGAGUCACUUGAUGAGUCAUUCCAACAAGCUGCAAGGACAUGAUCAGCCUCAAAUCUCCAAUUAUACAUCAUAGUGACCCUCUACUUCCCUGUUUAAGACAAAUCUUUAGAUCUACCCAAGGCUUUGUGAACGUUUUUUGCAAUCUGAGUUAUUUCACUUUCUUAAGAGAUAUACGUAGCUUUUGAAGCCUUAACUUAUCAGGAUCUUUCCAAGGUGUUAGCCUUAUUACGGAAGGCCUUGCUCUGAUACCAAAUAAAGGGAUUGGGGUGGGUUGCUCCUCUGCUCAGGGAACUAUUGCCAGUAUCUCACACGCAAUAAGAAAUAGGAGAUAAGUAAAUUAGCAAGUGCCAGAGUGCAGAAAAGUAAAGACAAGAUUUUUUACGUGGAAAUUCCUUGCUCAAGGGAGAAAAAUCAUGACCUACCUCCACGAUUUAAAUUCCACUAUACCUAAACAAUCUUUUGAAUACAUACUACAAGGAUUAGCCUCCUAAUCCUUUGUUUUCUAGCAAUAACUUUAUUACAAGGAAACCUAAGUAGUAACUUUAUUGACUCCACCUCCAGCUAAAUUUAAUUGGACUUCACAAGAUAACUCUUGCUUGCCACAACAACCUAACUCUAGAUGAUUACAAGAGAUGGUACACCACAACCCCCACUAUAAUCAUAAGCAAGCAUAGGCAAGAAUUUCAGUACAAAAUUCAAAGACUUAACUAUAACAAGGAAAUAAAGAUACAACUCAAUGAACAACAAGUUCCUUGUUACACUUUCAGCCUUUGAUUGCAGCAUUACACCACUUCAGAAAGAUCUUUAAUUGUGAGAAUAUGGAAGUGUUGUUUUUCUUGUUGAGAAAGAUGAGCAUUAUAUAUUGUGUCACAAGAAAACCUAGAAGUAAUCUCAUUGGUUGAGGUAAAAAUACAGCAAUAACUUUUCACUAACUUUUGUACCAUAUGUCAGCUAGACUAUUGACUGUGACAACGUCAGGUGAGCCCAAUCUAUUUCCUAAUACAUAGAGGGCCUAAGUCAUCAUAACAAGGUCUCCAGGGAAGAAAUCCCAAACUAUGAGUUUGUUAAUCAUCAAAACUAAGGACUUAACAAUAUUGUUAUAGGCUCAAUAGACCACCGUCUCAUUUUUAUUAGGUUCUCCCUCUAUUCCUAUGGCAUGCACCGAGGUAUAGAAGUUACUACUCAGAUGAGCCAUAUGAAGAAUGUGUUGAGACCUAUUGGUUAUUGCCUCAAAUUUGAAAAACUAGUUAUGGUGUAUGAAUGUAUUGACGCUAUAAAUCUUGAUAAGUUGCUCUUCAACAAGGGUAAUACUAAUGAUUAUGCUAAAAAAACAUUAUCCUGGAGAAAGAGAUUACAAAUUAACAAUGAGGUUGCUUCUACAAUUGUCUAUCUCCAUACCAAAUUUAGUACGCCCAUCAUCCACAGAGAUAUAAAGCCAUCUGAAGUGAUAAUAGAUCAGAAUAACAAUGUUGCCAAAAUAGUGGACUUCUUAUCAUCUAUAUCACUGUCUCCAAGAAAAUUGGAGGUAGAAGAUGAUAUUCUGUUAGGAAUAUGCGGGUAUGUAGAUUUUUAAAAAUGCCAUCUUAGGUAUUUUUAAUAAAAAAAGAGAUGUCUUUAGCUUUUUAAUUGUUCUUUUUGAGCUACUAAUCGGAAAGGAAGUGCGAGAUAUUAUAAAAUCCAAUAUUGGAGAGGGUCACGUAAUGAUUAAAGUGGAUUCAAUUUUUAAAGAGAUAGUAGAGUUUGAAAAAAGAUGCCAAAUCUAAUAGUGAGAGUAAUGCUAUGGAUAGAUUGGAUUCUACAAUUCCAGAUGACAUGAUAGAUUUUGAAUCUCUUCCACCCAACCUUGUGGAUCACUAUACUAAAGAGGGUAAUAAAAUGGAUAUAGUGGAUUCUGUCUCCAUUAUAGAAGAGCGUGGAAUUGAGAUGCGACAACAAUUAGAGAACUACUUAGAUCUUGGUAAGCAAUGCAUAACUGACAAAGGAGAGGAUAGUCUACAUAAUUGAAGUUGCAGGGGAAUUAUGCCAAAUUCAAAAGUUCUUCCAUACCCCCACUCAUGACCAAAAUUAUCUAUAUAAAUAUGGGGAAAAUAUUAAACUGCACAUUGUGCGUUUAAAGUUAAUUUGGUCAUAUAUAUAAACGUGAAAUAAGCUUGGCUUUAUUUGUAGUUAUUUCAAUUUUCAAUUGAAAUUCAGUUUGGCUACAAGGUUGUAUUAUGUUGGAUAAUAAAAGAGAUAUGAAGAUGAUGGAAUUGUUGAUUUAGCAUUUUUAACUUGGGAAAAGUUUUUACUAAAUGCUAGUUACAUGAAUCAUUUCAGUGCUUAAUUGAGAAACCAGGUAUCCAGUUGCUUUAAAUUACUCUCUGCUAGAAAAGCAGGGAGAUUCUCAAAUUUUUACAUAUUGAUAGGCUUGUAGAGUAGAGUUGGAGAAUUAAGUAUGAGCUAGGAUAGGUUCACAUAAUUAUAAGGAAUGUUAAUUUCUAAUUACUAAGUGGAACAACAAUAAGUGUGAAGACACAGAGAGAAAGUUAGAUAUUGGAAUGAAUGGACACUUUGAGUCACAACGAUGGCAUAAAUGAGCUCAACUAUUAACUAAUGACAUAAAUGGGACUUAUCUAAAAAAUUUAUGACAUAUUUGAGUUUUCUCUCUUGAAACUACUAACAACUUUUGUUAGCUAACUGAAGUAAUUAACUGCCUGAGUAGAGUUAAAACUAAUCGCAACUAACUAUAAAUAGUUACAAGAGUUGUGUACAACUGAAUCAACUCUAACAAAAUAUUUAAUAGAGAAAUUAAUUAACAGGGCAACGAAAUUAGGCAGAACUUGAUAAACAAAGGCAAUUAAAGUUCAUGGAAAUUCAUACGAGAGUCCAAUCAAUCUCUAUCAAACUCGAUUUGCUAUCAUUUUGUGUGGAAUUCAAUGUACAAAUUAGGACCAGAAGAAAGCUUCUAAAUUAGCAUUAGAACUAGAGAAAAUGAGAGAGAUAUCAAUUGUUUGGAGAGAAAAGAUACUUUUAAAUUAGCUCAAGGUAUUGGGAAGAAAAAAUGUACUAAUUCAGGGGACUAACAAUGAAAAAAAUAGGUCGCUACUUUUUUUGGAAACCUAGGUCGCCAUCAUUUUAAAUGACAAUCUUACCGAAAAGGCCAAUAUGGCUAUUGGUUAGCCACCUCUUAUGGCUGGUCAUUUUUCUCUAAAUAACAUUGAAAAUAUUUUUCCUUCCCUACCUACGCAGUUUCAGAGUCAGCAGUAUAGUGAACCCCAUCACCAAUUCAGAAUUAUGUGAACCUUCUUAAGUCUAAGAUUUUUAUUAUUGGCAAUAAUAAAUCACGUCCUGAGGUAGAACUAAUUCCCAUUAAGAAGCUGUACUUUAUUAAUGGAAUUCCUCGUGUUAGGUAGACUGAGAAAUUGGUUGAUAGAAUGAACAUUAUUGAAAGAAUGCAAUAUACGUUUAUUGGAAAGUUUUUAUAUGGAUGGCCAGACUUGGAGGAUCUUAGAUUACAACUUACUAAGCAGCUCAUUAUAAAAGGUGGAUGUAAUAUUGGUCUAUUGAGAAAUCAUCACAUCCUAAUGAUAUUCAAUAUGGUUUAAGAUUUUGGUAAUGUUAUGUAAAAAACAAUCUAUUAUAUUAAAGCCAAGGACUGAUAUUCAUAUCAUAUAUGGCCUUUAAUUUAUGAUGCUAAGUUCAACACCAAGGCAGAGAAAACAUAAGCAAUUGCUUGGAUAUAUUUCCCUAAUUUUAAACCAAUAUAUUUUGUGAAAUAAUCUCUUUUAUCAUUGGCCUCUGCAGUUGGUAAACCUAUUCACUUAGACAUGGCUACUAUGAACAAGACAAGACCUAAUUGUGCUAGGGUUAAAGUGCAUGUAGAGUUAAUGGCUGAACUUCCUAAAUAUGUUGAGAUGAAGAUUGUGAUCUUAAUAAUAAAUAGGGUAAGAGUGUCUAAGGUGAACAUUCAAUAUGAUUUCUUGCCCAAAUAUUGUAAAAGAUGUAUGCUUCAAAGGCAUAAUGAACAAGAAUAUAGAAUUCUACAUCUUGAAUUAAAACAAUGUUAUGAGGAUAAUAAAAAGUAAGACGUGUCAUCCCUUAGUAAUAAUAAGAAUGAAGGAGAUAAUGAUAAAAAACAUAGGAAACUGGGUGGAGCAAGGUAUGUACAAGCACAAAAAUGAAACCCUACAAAAAGGCAAUUUCCCAAUAAAGGAAACAAAGGAUACCAGGAUAAGCAAGCUAUUACCCCAAAGAAAUCAUGAAAUGUAAAUUAGUUCCAUGCUCUAGCAGAAGUUGAGAAAGAAAAUAGUUAAAUCUCUAAUAAUAAUAUUUUAAUAGCUUCAUCUCAAAUCAAUAAACCAGUAGAAAAAGGGGAUGAGGUGAUGUCGACUAGAGACUGGGUUGUCAACUCCUCCCAACAUCAGGAAAAUCAGAAUAAGGUAUCAACUAGUAGUCAUGGAGAAUCUGCAUAACAUAAGGAGAAGAAGUUAGUUCAUGAGAAGAGAAUGGAAGAAGUAAAGAAACAUUACACCUGAUAGUGACAAUGAAGACAACAACAUAAGAAAGAUGGGACAACAAUUCCUUGAUAUGCAAUAAUAAUCUGUUGACAAUAUAAAGAAAACAAACGUUAGUGUUCCAAGAAAUAUCAAUUUUACACAAAAUGAGAAUAUAGUGAAAAAAGCAGAGAUUUCAAAUAAAAUACAAAGUGAAGAGGAGUCCAGUAUAGGUCAGGACAAUAACAACCUUGCCAUUAUUGAGGUUCUAGUUACUAUUGCUGAACAAGAUUGGGGUGGUUAUACAGAAACUCCCAACAAAGUGUUACAUAACAUUCUUAUCCACUAGGUGGAUGAUAUCAAUAAAAUUAGGGGAUUGAUAGACGGUGUGAAUAUAAGGACACCCAAAAAAAUCAAGAGGAGCAAGUAUUUAGGGAUGAUGACUUAUCACCUAGAUCAAUCAAAUCUCUAAAGCAUAAAAAAAGGGGAAAAAGCCUAUUAUGUGAGAAAAAAAUCGGCCUAGCAGGUCUCAACAUAAGAAAGGGUGUGGAAGCCAAUAUUCUAAGCAAUGAAAGCACUAAUUUUAAAUAUUAGGUCAGUUAAGUCAUAAAGUACUUUUUAGAGAGUUCAAAUGCUGAAUAGAAUGAAUAAGUUUGCAUUUAUAACUCUUUUGGAACCAUUUCAGCAGUCUAGACAUAUAAAAAAA
RNAcentral lists this long non-coding RNA (77965 nucleotides) under Capsicum annuum. Lineage: Eukaryota; Viridiplantae; Streptophyta; Magnoliopsida; Solanales; Solanaceae. The record is from RNAcentral.